CUUAAUAACAGUAAACAUGAACAUGUCAGAUGCAAUUCUAGCAUCGACCAUUUGCAUAACCAGAAAUCCUAACCUGAACAAGCACCAGAAGUGCCUCCCGGACUUUCUCCUUGCUGAUAAAUGGUCCACAGUUUGAAGUAAGAGCAGGAGUAAGAGAUGGUGGAGGGAUUGGUGGUGGAAAAGGUUGAAGCACUGGGGCACCACAUGGGCGUUGUAGACUCAAGGGAGUAUUAAGUGGCGGAGCUGUUGGUGUAGAUGAAGAGACAGGCUGCAUCAUCCGCGCAGAGGAGGAUGGAGGAGGAACAAAGAAUAAGGAAGGCUUUACAAGAUUAGGUGUCCAGUUGCCAGAUUCAGAGGUGUCAAUGGGUGGCAUUAAAGGGGUAGGUGCUGAUAGAGGCGGGGAUGGUAUUUGCAAGGUUGGCACGAUAGGAUAAGCAACACUGGCGGGAUGAGAAGGUACAGAAAUAGUUGUAUCAGACUGCUAAGGUUGUGCAGAGAUUGCUGCAUUAGAAGUACUCCCCACAAUCAUAGCUGUCUGUAAUGAUAAGGACAGAUGUCAGAUACAAGGACUUCAUAGAAGUUGAACCUCACACUAAAAAGAAGUGAUAACAUAUGAAAAUAGUAUAUGACUUGCAGCAUUUUUGUGGUAAUGUUGCAUACUUAUGUAGAAACAUAUUAUUUCAAAGAAAACAUACACUGAAGAAGUUCACAAAAGCAGGAUCCUCAGGAACAUCAGCAGCAUUUGAGGGAGUUGACUCUAGAGGACCAUCCAUAACUGCCGUAGUUGGAACAGCUUCCAGUUCCUCAAACUCACUGCAGUUUAACAAUAAAAGGAACUCGAUGACCAAUUUAAGUAACAAUUAGAUGAUAUAAGAGGUUAGGGAAAAUGAUGAGCGGACCCUUAUGGAAGGUGAUUUCACCUUAGCUAAACACGAAAAUAAAAAGAAAUCAAGGCCGACUCCUCGAGUGCAAUGCAAAAAAUAUUUUCCCUCUUCUCUAACUCCUCUUAUUCAAAAUUGCUCAUCAUUGUGCUGUUCUUUGAGUUUUCACUAGAGUAGAGAACGCUAUUCUCCUGUUAAGUGCAGAGGAAAGAGAAGGGCAAGGGCCUGGUAUGACGCUAUUCUAUAGAAAGUGAGAAGGUGAAGGGUUAAAAUAUUUUGCAAUUUGGAGGUGGUGUUUGUUAGUGUUCGUACUUCUGAGUUUAUUACCUCUUUAGGAUCCAUAGAAAUUGCCUCUUGUUUAGCAUGCACUGUGCCUAAGAGUAAGGCGAGCUUGCAGAGUAUCUAUUAUUUAUUUACUUGGAUAUUCAAACAGGACUACCAGCAACCAAACCUGUCCCAGCACACUAAUCCCCAAACAAAACACUCCUUCAAGUGCAAGGAAAGAGUAACGUGGGCAUAUUUAUGGUUCAAGCACUACAAUAACUAAGAAUGUGAUGACUGUCCACAAACACUAUAUCAGAACCUUUUGAACUACAUCACAUGCUCGAAGAUUGUUUUUUCAGUCAUACAUAAAUUAGCCAUAAAAUUAAGGCCAUUAUACAACUAAAAAGAAAGAAAAAUUGUUUGCUACUACAUAUCAAAACUGGUAAUAGAAAUGUAAUAUGGCAGACUUCUUACUUAAACAGAUGAGAGGCUACAAAAAAAAAAUUGUGCAAAUAAAAUAUAUGAUAAAGAGCAUAAUACUUUCUUGGGGGCUAAAAAUAAUAUACAACAUGUAAAAUAUAAAUUGAGCUAUCAUUACCUUUUAGACGUGGCAACUUUCGACUUUUGAGGCACCUUGGAAUAUGCAUUCAGAAUCCUGCAUUUGGAAGCCAAAUAAAUAAUGUUAAAAACAAUUUUACAAUAGAAACAUUAAAAAUUGAUAAAUUACAGUUGCAAUUUAUGUAUGCGAAAAGAUAGCAUCACAUCCAGGGUCCUCCCCUAAACAUGCUUGUAACGAGAAUUAGUCUGCCUCCACUGUUAGCAACUGCUAACAAUAUACAAUAGUAAAAAUCACUCUCAUGAACUCACCAAUACCAGACACCAAUAAGAGUAUGAUACAACUAUUCUAAAUGGAAGAGAAAACCACUGUUUUAUAACUAUGUCGCAUCCAAAGAUAUGUUAGGAGGAUUAAUCCAAAUACCUUCGAACCCAAUUAACAAACUUGAGGCAAAAACCAGGGGCCCCAACUGAACCUUACAAUCUUGAAGGAAGGAGGCUUCUGGCAUUUUUCAGAUAGGUGAGUUACUAGAUCUCCUGCGAAGAGAAUAUCUUUUGCUUUGAACCUCCAUUGAAAUUUCUUUUUCCCUUUUUCUUGUUUUGACUUGGAACUUUCCAGCAUCAUCUAUUUGACCUUUUUUAAAGCUAAAAUAGCAAUCUAUGGGUUGUCAACAUCUUAUCUCCCCUUCCCCCCCCCCCCCCAAAAAAAAAAAAUCAAUGGGUUGUCAAUAAAUAGUGCCUACUCAACUUAUGUUUUCCAAGGGAUGACAAUGUGCAAAUCGACCUAGUAGCCACACUUUUCCCCCACUUUCAACCACCGUUAGGCAACUUUUCUAACCUUUCUUCAUUGCCCACAUCUACAGAACUAUCAUAUAAAGACUACAUUAUUAUUGGGGUAGAGGAAAAAAUACAGACUAUAUUAUUAUAUCUCAUUUUACUAAUUGGAAAAGACACUCAUGAUAAUACAGACCUUAAAAAGCAAUAGCUAGUAACACCCCAUGUACUCCUAUUUUAGCCUUCACUAUCCUAGUAAAAACACAAUUAAGUCUUGCAAAAGAACAUUCACAAGUAAAUUCAACAUUAAAUGAGAUUAGGUAUCCACUGCACCUUCAAUCGAUGACUGGGUGAAUAGCAUGGUCAACCAUCUAGUUCCUGCAGCCCUCCUUGUACCUAUGUUAGUUACAUUUUACAUAUUACGCCACGAAAAUGAAGGAUCACAGCCUGGUAAAGAAAGCCAUUAAUUAAUAGCUUUUGUUUAAAAAGUUCUCAUUUAGAUCUUUCCUAUUCAAUUAAUCAAUGUAAUCCAAAGAGAACUCUUCCAUUUCAAGCAGUGUUAGAAGAUAAUUGCAAAGCCUAAAGAUAAUAUACAAGGACCAAGAUAUCAAUAAAGUCAAAUAGUGAAUGUCAAAUAUAAAAAAUAAAUAAAAUAGUUGAACGUGAUCAUUUACUAUCAAGUUCUGUAAAACUGAAAAUACCAUUAUCCCUGUAGAGAUUCUCAAAAAACUCUUUAGCAAAUCAUUAAAUAGCAAAAAAAAGAACGAAAGUUCAAAAAAAAAAAUGUACAACAUCCAUAUCAGGAGAUAUUUUUCUUCUCAAUAUCAAUAUUUUCUAGCCGUGAAGCAAUUGAAAAGCUUAACACCAAGUGAAUUAUUAAGAAUUCAUCAUUUAAAUUCCCAAAUCGCAAAAUGUUGGUGCAACUAGGAAAGUGCAAAUGCAGUCACUUAACUAACACAAUAAGCACCAAUAGUGAGAAGCCCACUUUGUAUCAAAUUUGAAACAGAUAGAUAGAGGUCAAAAAAUUUAUAAAGACACUCAAUUGAAAGCCUUUCAAGCAGCUUUUGCAUGCAACAAGAGCAAAUCAAAGGCGAUGAGAAUGUAUUCAAAGACUAAUUUACAAUCAUCUAUAGACAUAAAUAUCUUGGAUACCUACUCUCUAUACCUUACUGUCCCACUGAAAAUCAUCAAAUCCCUCCAAACAAAAAUGACAAAAUGUAUAAGAAUUGUGUGGUCAAACUUCAAUAACUUAGCAGCCACAGCAAAAACUUAUGUAGACAUGCAAGCCACUCAAAAUAGUCAUAUUUUUUGCUUUCCAAACACAAGCCACUGUGUAAUGAAUGCUCAUAAAUUGCUACUACCAUGUUUGUUAAAACACGUGAAAACCACCAUAACUAACUCAAUGUAACUGAUGAUCACAUCACAUUCAUGGAAUCACAUAUCUGACAGUAUUAAUUAGUGCAAACUGCAUGCUUCUUGAAACUCCUUAUUUAUCACAUGGGUGCCAUUCCAAUCAACCAAUGAUUCUGAUCUAGUCAGCAAAUUCAACCCACGAGCGAGUAAUACCUCCUAUUGCUUCUUUACAUUUCUCAACAAAAUUCCACAUUCUACCCAUACUUCUGAACUUGAUGCUCCCAUAGACUAAUACAAUAUAAAGAUUUCUUCCCACACCACCCCAACCCCCACCCCUAAAAAACCAAUUUAAAUUCUCAUUGGAUGUACAACUUAUAGUCCAUACCAAAUUGAAAAAUUUGCAAAUAUAGAACCUCAAAGAAUCUGCUUGCGUUCCAUUUUCUACAGCAAGAAAAUUGACCUUUACCACAUGCAAGUCAACAUAUAAAACAAUCAUGUCUUUGUGAGAUGCACAUUUUCAGAUGAAUCUGGAGAGCAAUGAAACCAUAAAAACCUAAUAUGAGAACACCGAGGGCUCCAGAUAUCAUCUAUAGAAUCUUUGGUGCACCCUUGCAUGAUGAAAAAAAUUGAAGGCUUCGUCACCAACUCCCCAGGUUGUUUUGUUCUCCUAUCUCCUAAAUGCACAGGAAAGGCAACCCGUUCUUUUUUCCAAUCUUAAGGGGCACAGAAUGACUCCGGUAUAAAAUAGUCAGUUUCUAUACAAAAAUAACUCCUUUGCACUUGGCAUUGCACAUCUCAAAAUAAAAAGCAUGCAAGGAGGAGAAUAUAAUAGCAUUAAACAAGUUUUAUUAACCAAACUUCAAAGAUGCCAGACAAGGCAAAAAAGGAAUCUGUACAAGCCAGAUUCCAAGAAUAAUAAUUCCAAUAUACAAUUCAAGAAAACAAUAACUAAAACCAUGUUCAUGAGGCCUCAGUAGAAGCAACAUGUAAUAACCAUACUCUAUUAUUUGAAACACAUUUCCAAGUUUGGUUAAGAUUCUAAACUAUUCUCUAUCUGUCAAUUAUUAACAUGUAAAACAUAAUAAUAUACACUUAAACUACUACAGUAGUAAAACCAGUAAAACAACAAUACCUGCUAAAAAGAUUUGCUACCUCUUCACAUUCACGAGCAUUGUAGAACCAAAUCCCAUUUACUUCUUGGGAUGCAUUUCGAUAUAACAAAUACGGAACCUGAACUUCAAACUCAAAAUCUCCCAAAAGAUUUUCCACUAAAUUAUCUGCACAUAUACAAGAUAUUGAAGCUUAUCAGUGCAAAAACAUAUAUAAAAAGACAUGAAGGUUAGAAGACAUAACUAAAACUUAGCAACAACUGAUAAGCACAACAAGACAUGAAAUAUAACACUAGUUGUAAACAAGAUAGACACAUGGUAUCUAAAAAAUUGUACCAACCCCCUCUCCUGAUUGUCAUAAAACGGCCAAUAUUUAACCCUAGACAACAAAAUUGCAAAUACUCUAGCCUCUAUAUUAUUGGCAUAUAAAUAUUUUAGGUUAGGUACAUUAUAUUCUUCGUUCUAAAACCUCAAUUAUUAGCUAGUACUGUGAUAAAAUGAUUCAUCACUGAAAUUAAAACUAGGUCACGUACAAAUAAUCAAAACUGAAAUAGAAGCAACGAUAAACCAACCUGUAUUACGUCGAUUCAUCACAACAAACUGAAAUCGAGGCUGUGUGUUCCUGAAAAUUGAAAAAAAUAAUAAUUUCACCAACUUCAUGUGUAAUACAAUCUCCAAAACACCGAAUAUCAAAUGAAAAAAUGGAAAGCAUAAGAGAGAAAAGAAUCUAAUUUUAUUGACCUUUUGACGACGAACAGAGAUCCUUCAACAUCCUUACGACUCCAUUGGCUGAGAUCGAUGUUGAACUCGUAGAAGGUGACAUAAGCGGCCGUGAUGAGGAUCUCCUCAAUGAAUGGAUCGAUUCGCUGAAGAACUGUCAGGUUUAGGAGUUUUGUGCUCUGCUGGUCCAGAUUAGGCAUCAAUUUUCCGUUCUGCGACAUUUUUCGUAGUCCUUUCGGGCUCUGCCCCGAGCACAAGCCCCAUGGUUUUUCUGUGAGCUCUCUCUUUUGUAAAUAAAGUGUUUGAUGAGAUAGCCGAGAGAGAGUGAAAGAGUUGAACACCCAAACAAGGUGAGGUGAACAGUUUCGGAUUGAGACUCGAGAUUGAUCUUGCUUUAACGUCUUUCAAAUAUUUGGGAAAUAGCAUUUAUUUCUUUCAAUUUCUCUACUUUUUUUUUCCUUUAUGUCAUUUAGACCCAAAAAUUAGAUUUAUUAUAAAUUUAUAAUCAUAUUUUACCCAUUCACUAGUAACCCCUUUUAUUUUUGAAAUUUGUCAAUAUUAAUGUGUUAGAAUAAUGUUAGAAAUCCCAAUUAUUAUCUCAAUGUUUCAAUCAUAACUAAUGUGAUAACUCAUCGGUAACUGCAACAUUAACUUAAUUAUUAAUAUUUAUCAUGAAAUGAUGAGAUUAUUAUUCAAGAAAAAAUUAGUAAACAUCAAUGACUAAUAUAAUGUGACAAUUACAGCUGAAUAUUAGUACAAUAAUUAGGAUUCCUAAAGUUAGUGAUGUAUUAUAAUAUAUGUGUUAUACCACUUUAUGUCUCUCAAAUUCAAUUGAGUAAUUUCAUAUACCUGAGUACCUUUUAUUACAUUAAUUAAUUGGGUCCGCCUAACUUACGCUCAACGUAAGUUACGCUCAGCCCGUCCAAUUUCAUAUAGUCCCCCUAUACUCUAUACUAUUUAUAUUUUAUUCAUAAAUAUUAUAAAUUUUUUGAAAUGUAAAAUUUCAUUUAACCCCCUCUACUCAAUUUUAUUUUAUUAAAACCAUAGAGUAUGAAUUUGCCCCCAUAAUUUUAAAUUCUCAAAAUAACCCCCAUUUAAUUAAAAAUAUAAUUAUUUUUAAAUGAAUUAUAAUUAUAAUUAUAAUUUUAUUAUAAUCAUAAAUAUUUUUUUAAUAGAUUAUUGUUAUUAAAAUAAAAUUUUGUUUAGCCCCUCUACUCAAUUUUAUUUUAUUAAAACCAUAGAGUAUAAAUUCGCCCCCAUAAUUUUAAAUUCUCAAAAUAACCUCCAUUUAAUUAAAAAUAUAAUUAUUUUUAAAUGAAUUAUAAUUAUAAUUAUAAUUUUAUUAUAAUCAUAAAUAUUUUUUAAUAGAUUAUUGUUAUUAUUAAUAACGAUAAUAAAAAAUAUUAUAAUUAAUUAAUUAAUCUAUUAACAAUAAUUAAUAAUAUUUUUAUUAAAUUGUUAGUAAUAAUAAUAAUAAUUAAUGAUAAUCAACAUAUUUAUGAUUAUAAUAAAAUGGAAUAAACACUGAGUCUAUAUUUAUAUAGGAGACUCUUUUAUAUUUCUAUACAUUUUAAUUUCAAGUACUUUUAGGAUUUUUUUGUUACCUUCAUAAAUAAUGAUUUUGUAGGCAUCUCAUUAUUAAACGGUCAUUUUUAAGUGCUUCUAGUGUUGGGAUCGUAUUUAAUUGUGCUUUUCAGCUUUCUUGUCAUAACAACUAGGGUAUUACUCUUUCUCCAUAUCAAGCUUGAAGUUCUAAAUUUCAGUUUUAUCUUUUAUUUGAUGUUUUAUAAGUUCUAAAUUUCAGCUUUCUCUCAUAACAACUACGAACGUGUUAUGGUUUAGCUCAGUGACACAAAGGACAGUUUUCAACAAUUGAUCCUAGGAAGAUGCCCAUAGCUUGUUGUGCCAAAAAUAGAAAAUCUAAGAUGCGAAAAAAUUUUGUUGAGAUUCAUUUUUCAUCCUGAUGUUACAGCUGGCCUUUUUUUUUUUUUUUUUUGGCAGAGAAUAAUGCUUAUGUGAUUUCUGAACUUGGUUAUUGUUGAAAUGAGCUGAAAAUGAGCUGGAAAUGUGUUUGGUUAAUGAGAAAGAGAGCGAGAAAAUGAAAGAAAUCUAUUUCACUUUUUAUUUAUCAGAAUGAUUACAUUCACAAUGAAUCUAAGCUGAUAUUUAUACUUAAAUGAAUACACACGAGAUUCUUCUUGCUAGAUACUUCUAGAAACUCUACACGCACACUCACACUGAGCUAGUGGUUACUAAAACCGUUACAACAAUAUUGCCAGCUCAGCAUAACCAACUUAUAACUAACACACUCAGCUGCAGGGGAAACCAUCAAGCAUACGGUGCAUCCUCUGUAAUCAAGCUUCUUUAAGCAUGCUCUGCAGAUCAUACGUCUGAAUUAUCGAAACAAGAUGAAUUAUUUUUUGUUUAUUUUAGCAGGCGAUCUAUGAUCGGAAUUUCUUGCAACAAAAGAUGUGUGUCCACCAGCUUGUAUUCAAUUCGCGAACACAGUUUGAGAAGAAUCAGACCAUUAAUUUUCUUUUGAGCCAAUCAACAGAAUGUACAUUUCUUCUAAGAACCUGUAACCGAAACCGCAGUUUUUCAGGUUUGCUCCUUCCUCAUAGCAGUUAAUCAAACGAUAAACAGAGAUAUCCCAUGUCAACAAGAAGGUAAUCAUAAAAGAACAACAGAAUUGUUGCAACAUAUUCAUAUGAAAUGUAAAACAAUUUUGAGAAAAAAUAUUGGGAAGAUAUUUUUUUUUCAUAGAAGUUGCAAUCUUUACGUUAUUUACUAGUUGCAAUCAUACGCCUGCAAAGGAUGCCAGUUAAUUUUAUCACAAUUAGAUGGUAAGAUUGCAAAUUCUGCAGCCAAAGGUAGUACGGAGCUGAAUGAAGGAAAUCAAAUAUGAACAUGUUUUCAAUCUCAAAAUAUUAAGAGUAGCAUAAGUAACUUGUGAAACAGUCAUAAGUUCAAGGGAAUUAGAUGAUGGCAUGGUUGAAUUUAUAAAUAUUUGAUAUUUUGGACCGAACAGGGCAAACAGAUGGAUCCAGAUAAUUAAGAAAAACAUCAAUUCCAUGCAACCAAAUUAGUGUGUACAAUGCAAUUGCCUUUCCCUAUGAGAGUAGAGGGCCUAAGUACGCUGCCGUUUAGAGCUGAUGAGUUUGAUUCACCAGCAAGCCUCACACAAUAUCACUUGAGCAACACUAUAAAAUCAUUCAAAGAAAUCUCUAGGUCAGUAUCCAAAUAUGUGGCUCCGUCAGUUCCACCACAACCCAAAAUAUCAGAUCCCCCCAUUUGGAUUCGACUGAUCAAUUUGAGCAUAUAAAAUCGGGUUUUAAACUUCCCUAAUUAAAAUUUAUAUUCCACAGAAUCGUUUCCUUUAACAUGAUGCAUUACAUAAUAUUUUGUUUGCAAAAUAAAGAAGAAAGAUGACAUAAUAGAAACACUCACAGAGAGAGAAUACCUUUGACGAAAAGCUUAGAAGUGAAUCCUCUGUAAAAUACGAGUUGAGCUGCUGAAUUUUUCGAGUUUGAAUGAGAGACUGCGCCGUUUCUGAAAAUGUUUUUUUCUCAGUAGCGCCGCCAUUUUUGUAAUAGAGGGUAAAGAAAUAAGUAACAGAGUAAGAGGUGAGCAGAAACGGCCCAAUUUAGUUAUAUGCCAUGCAUGCGAUCAAAAUUGAAUGGUUAAAUGGCAGCCACUAUGUUACAUCUUGUGUAAGUAACAAACCGCCUACAUGGAUCGUUGGAUUUGGGAAUAUGAAAUCCAAUGGAUAAUAUUGAAUUUAACGAAAAAUAGAUUACAGGUUGCAUUAGUCCAAGUUUAUUUCAAACAAACCAGCUGACGAAAUAGCCGCUAAUCAAAUUUAAAAGGGAAAAAAAUUCAAAUUAUAGGUUAUAGAUCUUAUUUCCAUCUUAAAUCUAUUUGUCUUUCAUGGUGUCUCAAUGUGUAUACUAAUUUAUAAUUUGGAUUUAUAUUAGAGCUAAUGCUUCCCUAAAUAACUAAGAAAAUUUUCUUUUCAUUGAUUUAAUAUUUAUUUCCAAUAUCUUGUAUAUGUAGGAUUUGAAAAGAGGAAAAAUAGUAGGGAUGAUAAUGAGAGAAGAUAAAGGUGUCGAUUCUCAAAUCUAAUAUUAAUGCUAUACUUAUAUUCCUAUACUAAAUAAAUUAUCCAAGGUUCGUGGUUAACAAUACGUUGCAAAAUUUUAAUUUCUAUUUAAAGCUCUGUCUAAUAUGACUUUUCAUAAAGCUUAGAGAAAAGUAGAGCUUUUACCAAAAAAAAAUAAUUAUUAGAAUUGUCAAUGAUAAAUUUUAAAAAGUACUUUAAUAAAUAAGCUUUUAAAGUUAUAUAUAUUAUGAAAGAAAUGAAAUAAGAUUAUAUAAUAAAUUAAGAGUAUCUUAGAUAAUUGAACUUAAAAAAAAAAACUCGCUAAGAGGUUUAAAAUUUGAGUUUUAAUAGUGGAUACAAAAUAGUUUAUUUAAUUCUCAAAAGCUCUACUCAAAAUAGUUUAUUUAAUUCUCAAAAAAUAUUUUUUUCAUUGAGUAAAUAAUACUAAACAUGCACUAAAGUGUUAGGACCAGAAGUUGUACAAAAAAUGAUGGCUACAACUUAAAUUAUGAAUGGAGUAAUCGGAGAAUAUUGAAACCCGUUUAAUUUGGAUCGUGCAUUGAGGGACGAAAGGAUAAAAAAUUUAAUUUUGAAAUUGCUGUUGGGUACGGUACAAUGACUUACCGUUGACAGCUUUUGCAACCGGAUUACAAUCGGUUAGUUCAAUAAUUUUAUAUCCCCAUUUAACCGCCAUGUGCUGCUGUUACAUGGGUCAAUUAGUCAUGUCAUUACUGUUACUUACAGAUGCCGCAACAUAACCGGACCCUGGUUAAAUUCUGUUGUUUCCAAUAAUUUUAUGCUGUAUCUUCUUUAAUAAUAAAGAAAACUUGCAUUAAAAUUAAAAUUAGGGUAAUACCUGAUUUUAUAAAUAGAUUGCAAUGUAAUUUUGAAAAAUAAAACAAUAAUUUACAAAAUGUUUAUAACAUAAUUUUAAUUUUUUUCAAAAAGGAAAAACAACAAAAGUAAGAAAUAGAGAAUUAGGGCUACAAACUUUGUAUCUUAAACGGCCGUUAGAUUAUUUGUAAAUGAAAGCAACGGUCAGAUAUUGGUGGAUUAUGGAAACAUGUAAUCAUAAGGACUACGAGUUUUUUUUGUUACAUUGAUAUAUUACAAUCAAAAUUCUAUUGGUAUUUACAAUCAGAAUUUUAUUUGACUAUCUUUGAUAAUUCUAAACUAGUACAACCCAAAUUCUUAUUCUCAUAUAAUAUCAAAGAGAGAUAUAUAUUCUUCUCCUCUAUUAAUAAAGAGACAUUUUUACUUCCUUUUAAUAGUUAGGACUCAGAACUCAUACACGCUAGUUUGAGAGUGUGGGGUGUGACAAUGGGCCAAGAGACCAUUGACAAAUACAAAAGAGUGGUAGAAAUUAAUUCAAACCGCUACACACGCUAUUGCAACCAAAUUGAGGGCACAUUUUUGUUUAUUUAGUUGAAAAGUAGUCUGUAAAAUUAACUCAAACCGCUACAUACGCUAUUGCAACCCAAUUGAGGGCCCAUUUUGUUUAUUUUGUUGAAAAGUAGUUUGCGCAAUUAAUUCAAACCGCUACACACGCUAUUGCAUCUUUUGAAAAAGAAAAAUGGAAUAAUUUUUCAAAAUUAAUUUAGAGAAUAAGAUUUACUAAUAAUGAUGUUAGAAAUCUUGAUAUUUGAAUCUUAAUAUUAUCUAUCACUCAUUUAUUAAAUAAUAGAUUUCAUAGUUUGUAAAAUUACUUAACCACUUGAUAAAUGUUAUAUUUGUUGGGACUAGAUUGGGACUUAAAUAUUGGAAUAUCUAGUAUUGCAUAAAAAAAAACUUAACAAUUUAUCUUCACACGACUAAUUGUUUUUACAUCACAACUAACCUUAAUUAUUUUAAAAGUUAUAGUAUUAUUAAAUUGCCCUAACUAGUUAUCAAAAGGUGAAACCAUGUUUUAAAAAGAAAUUACUAAGAAACAUUUGUUUAAACGAAGGUUAAGGUUAUGAUCAAUUAAUUAAGAAGAAACUUACUAUCAAAGGUUAAGAUUAUGAACAAUUUAAGGAAGUUAUUGAGUAGAGAAAGGGACAGAAUGGUUGUCUGAUUUGUCGGUGACAAGAAUGCUUGUGUUGUGAAAAGAAAGCCGAUGGUUUGUAAAUUUGUUGAAUUUUUCGCUCGCUUCAAUGACUUGCUUAUGCCCAAUAUAUUACUUUGCACAGUAGUAUUUGGGAUCCUAACAAUCAACUCUUAAUUUGGUCCCAAUUAGUAUAGUAAUCAUCUAUUGAGCGGUAAAAUAUUAAUUCUAAUAGUCAUGAAAUCCAAUAUAUAAUAGAUUAAUAACACACAUAAAUUAAAACAUAACUGUCUGAAAUCAUAACAUUACUCUACUCUUCAGUGAAGUUCUCUUAAACUGAUUAUGUGAAAGCAAUAUUCGCUUUUUGAUUAUAUCCAUAACUUUGAAUUGAUAAAGUUGUAUUCAACAGCUCUUGAAAAGACUAAGCAGGUCUUCUUUGCAUUUGAUCACUGGCAUUUCAGUUAAGUUUGUCACUUACUUAAAAUUUUCUUGCUUUCAAUUUCCACUGUUAUUUUUUUUUAAUAAAAUAAUUUAUUUAAACUAGUCAUAGAAAUAAGAGAGAAAAGGGGUCAUUUCUUGACUCAAAGUCAAUUAUAAUUAUCAAAACUUGAGGGGACAUCGCAUGCCUAAAUUCCACGCACCCUAAAACGGUUUGAUUUGCUUUCACGCGUUCAUGAAUUUCCAUGAAAGAGCCUGCCUUUCGUCUCUUUCGGGACAAUGACUACAAUUAUGGAAAAAAUUAUAAUUCUCGUUAGAUUGUAACCAAAUUAUUAUCCCUAAUUUUUUUAAGUUAAAUAAAAUAAAAUUCAUGCCUAAGUAUUUAGUAAUUAGAGAGAGAUAGAGAGGAUUGAGGGCCAAUGUUUCACGAUUUGGGGUCAAUUCAAAGUCAACUAACGUGUAAAACACGUGUAUGCAUAGAAAACGCUUAGAUUAUUUGUGUUCCAAGUGCAAGAAAUUAAGAAAAGAAAAAUUGAUUUCCUUUCAUGAACUUCCAAGAAAGAAAGAAGACCCUUCACCUUCUUCGUUACAACAAAUGAAUGAAUGAUGUUGAUAUGACAAAUACAAGCGCUAUUACAGGGAACAGCAUAAGACUGAGACUUGAUAAAGUGUUUGUUAAAUUACAUGUUAUUUUCUUUUAACUUGAAUGAUGUUGAAAAUAAAAUAAAAUAAAAUUGUAAUCAGGGUGAUGUGUGGAAUAUAGUGAAAUAAAUAAAUAGAGAAGAGAAAUUUGUUGAUCAAUAUUAAAGACACAUCCAAAGUGAUCGUCAAAGUCUAGAGGUUCGGUAUGAUUAGCAUUUAUUUUAUUUUUUUUGGCUUAGCAUCAUAUAUAGUCACCUGUCGUGUGAUCUAGGACAGGUUUAGAAAUCCUUUUAUUUUAACUUCUGUAUUCUUAUUAUUUAAUUAGUUAUAGGGUUUUUAAGUAUUUGAGUAUUGAUCACAUGUCUCCUAAUCUAAAAAUAUGUUUUUACGAGUACAAAUAACAAACUAGGAUUUUAACAGCCUUUUAUACUAAACCCUAAAAAUACAUGAAUUUAUCAAAAUAAGUAAAUUAAUUUAAAUUGGUAUGGCAUAGUAGAAGUUUUACCUGCCGAAACAAAUUAAAAAAAUAUUACACUUAAAUCAAAUAUUGACAAAAAUAGAUAACAAUCUAAUGAGAAUCUUAACUAGACAUUUUUACUUCUAUCCAAUUUAACUGGAAUGAGAAUUAAGUCCUGUCAAUAGUUAGGACUCAUAACUCAUACACACUAAUUUGAGAGUGUGGGGUGUGACAAUGGGUCAAAAGACCAUUGACAAGUAUAAAAGAGUGGUCGUAAUUAAUUCAAACCGCUACACACGCUAUAUUGAGGGCCCACUUUUGUUUAUUUCGUUGAAAAGUAGUUUUCACAAUUAAUUCAAACUGCUACACAUGCUAUUGCGUUUUUUUUUUUUUUUUUUUGAAGGGAAGCAAUUUCAUUAAACCAAAACGAAUUACAGACUAUGUAAUAACCACAAAGGUGGAACGAAAUUCCACUCUUGGGGACCUGACAUAGAACCUACUGCCCUUGCAACAGAGUGAGCAGCCAGGUUCGCAGACCGACGUACAAACGAGAAUUGUACUUCUCUUAAAGACUUAGCUAAAGCUCGACAUUCAUCAACUAUUAAACCAAAACCGUUAGGCCCUGAAAACUCCUCAACUAGAGCUUGAAAUACUUGUAAACAAUCAGUUUCAACAAUGACACAAGGAAAUUGUAAGCCUUUAAGCCAACUAAGGGCCUCCCGAAUACCAAGAGCUUCAGCCUCCCUUGCUCCAAAAUUCCCAGCCAUUCCAGCACAUCUUGCUGUUAAGAAAACACCCUCUGAAUUUCGAAGCACACACCCAAAACCAAUAUUUCCCUGAGAUGAAAAGAUAGCAGCGUCAACAUUACAUUUGACCCAACCAAACUUUGGCCUCUCCCAACAUAUUGCCCCAUGGACCAGCUUAUGGACAUCAGUAUCAGCAUAGAAUUGUUGCUUCUUUGCUGCUUGCCACUGAUAGAGAAGUUGCCCAGCAGAAUUGAGCACUUGAUUCACUGAAUCAGUUUUGUUAUUCCAUACUUUGUCAUUCCGAUUAAUCCAAACUCUCCAGCAGAUCAUCAUGGCAACAUGGCAUUCUUCUUUGCUGCAGCGUGUAAAGAUGUGAUCAAGCCACUCUAAGAAAGAAUAACAAUGGCCAACAAAACCCACAGAGGAAGAAAUCCAGCAAGCCUUAGCAACAUUACACUCAACCAACGAAUGGAGAAUAGUUUCAUCAGAAGCAAGACACACAGCACAAGUAGGGGGGAUAUUCACCCUCUUAGAAAUUAAAUUAACUGCAGUAGGCAGCACAUUAGUUGCCGCUCGCCAAACAAAAUUCUUAACCUUAUUCGGCACAUUCAAGUUCCAUAGUUUUCGCCACACAUCUGUGAAAGGGUCAGGGGUAAGAGAAUGUAAAACCUUAUAACAGCUACGGACUGAAUAGCAUCCGCGAGAAUCAGCCAACCAAUACCACACAUCAUCAUUUCGGCGGGAACUAAGGGGAAUUUGAAGAAUCAACUCCUUGUCUCUUGCGUUGAAAAGAUCCGAAACAAGAUCAUAAUCCCAAGCUCGUUGAUUAGGCACCAGUAAACUACUAACAGGAGCUGCAGCAAGCUCGGCAUGGAGAUUAGAAGGAACAAAUCCAUUAUUAGUAUCAGGAAGCCACGGAUCCUUACCAAUGAAGAUCGAAUUUCCACAGCCAACUUGCAGUCUACUCCCUUGAAUUACCACAUCCUUUGCAGCCAAAAUAGAGCGCCACACAUAGCUAGGAUUAUGCCCCGCAGAAGCUUGAAGAACAGAGGUGCGCGGAUGGUAGCGAGCUUUAAUUAUCUUGGCCACAAGAGAUUCCGGACAAGUUAACAGCUUCCACAUUUGCUUUCCUAACAUCGCUAUAUUGAAUAAAUGAAGUUGUUUAAAACCAAGGCCACCAUAUCCUUUUGGUUUGCACAGAUUUUCCCAUUUGGACCAGUUUAAAAAAGAAAAAUGGAAUAGUUUUCCAAAAUUAAUUCAGAGAAGAAGAUUUACUAAUAAUGAUGUUAGAAAUCUUAAUAUUAUGUAUCACUCAUUUAUUAAAUAAUAGAUUUUAUAGUUUGUAAAUUUACUUAACCACUUGAUAAAUGUUAUAUUUGUUUGAAUUGAUCCAAUAGCUCUUGAAAAGCACAUAAUAAUCAUUAUAAAUUUAAUCAAAGACUAAGCAGGUCUUCUUUGCAUUUGAUCACUGGCAUUUCAGUUAAGUUUGUCAUUUAUUUAAAUUUUUCUUGCUUUCAAUUUCCACUGUUGUUUUUUUUAAUAAAAUAAUUUAUUUAAACUAGUCAUAGAAAUAAGAGAGAAAGGGCGCCAUUUCUUGACUCAAAGUCAAUUAUAAUUAUCAAAACUUGAGCGGACAUUGCAUGCCUAAAUUCCACGCACCCUAAAACGGUUUGAUUUGCCUUCACGCGUUCAUGAUUUUCCAUGAAAGAGAGUGCCUCUCGUCUCUUUCCGGACAGUGACUGCAAUUAUGUUAACGUGACGAAUACAAAACGUUAUUACAUACAAGAAUAAGUUUUUGGAGCCGAUACUUGAGGGAGGUUCUAUCUAAUUCUAAAGAUUGUAACCAAAUCAUUAUCCCUAAUUUUUUUAAGUUAAAUAAAAUAAAAUUCAUGCUUAAGUAUAAAUAAUUUUUUUAAGUUAAAUAUAAAAUAAAAUUCAUGAACUUCCUAGAAAGAAAGAAGACCCUUCACCUUCUUCGCGACAACAAAUGAUGUUGACAUGACAAAUACAAGCUCUAUUACAGGGAACAGCAUGAGACCGAGACUUGAUAAAUAUUAAAUAUAUAAAAUAAGUGGAGCAAACGAACAGAAUAAUAGAUAUUUUAUAAUAUUCUUCAUAAAAAUCCAUGUUUUGAGCCUGCCUAUAAGCUUAUCUAGUGAAGUCUGGGUAUCCGCGUUGCCCAAGGUUCCGUUUGAAUCCAGGCCGUGUAGAUGUUUAAGACAUCGCAUAUGGACGGAGUGGAAAUAUUUUCAGUUGACUGAAUUAAAUAAAAAUAUAUUACAAUCAUAUUAUAUAUUAGCAGCAAAAAUAAAAAGAAAUGAAGAAAAACGCAUGCAAGACUUAGACAAGUCAAUUAAAAGCUGGGAGUAUCAUCAGUUCAAUUGGUUAUAAAUAGCGUAGAGCCAUCCUCUCGUUGUUGCAGAACUGAAGCAAAGAGACUCAGAAAGAGUGUGUGUAGGUGAUUAUAAUUAAGAAGAUAUAAUGUGUGGUUCAAAAAGAGUGUGGGUGAGUGAGUUAAUUUUCAUAUUAUUAGUAGUAAAAGGGUGGUGGAGUGAGGGAUGUUUGGAGCAAGAGAGGUCUGCUCUCCUACAACUCAGACAUUUCUUCAAUGAUGAUCAACUUCUUCAAAACUGGGUAGACGAUGAGUAUUAUUCAGAUUGUUGUCAGUGGGAACGGGUUGAGUGCAACAACACCACUGGAAGAGUGAUUGAAUUACAACUACUAGAAACUCGAAAACAGGGAUCAGCAGAGUGGUAUAUGAAUGCCUCUCUGUUUACUCCAUUUCAACAAUUAGAGUCUCUUGAUUUAAUGGGGAACAAUAUAGCCGGUUGUGUUGAAAAUGAAGGUCCUUAAUUUACUCUAUUUUAAUUCUUCCUCGUAAUUUCUUACAUUUAUCUGAUCCCUUUUGAUUUUUGUUUAAUUUGUUCGUGAUACAAUAAAAUUACUUUUUAUUUUUUGUCAGGUCUAGAUAGGUUAUCAAGGUUGAACAACUUGAAGUUUCUUUACUUAAACCUUAACCACUUCAACAACAGCAUCUUUUCAUCCAUAGGUGGUCUUUCAUCACUCAGACGCUUAUCAUUGGCUAGUAAUGAAUUGAAUGGAAGUAUUGAUAUUAAAGGUAAGCAAGCUUCAUCCCUUCUCCCGUGUCCCAUCUUUUGUGGAUCUUAUUUUAUUGACCGGCUGGAAGUAUUGAUAUAAGAUCUGGCUAGACUCUUGCUAGUUUAAGCUUCAAGGAUUUAAAUAUUAUAAAAAUAGGUUUAAGAAAUUAUCAAUAUAUGCAAUUUUCAAUGCUUCUCAUAAUCAGACACAAUUCAAUCUAAUUAUUUUGUAUGUCCUGUCUUCAAAAGUAAAGAAUUGUACACUAAAUGGAAAUCGACAUCGUAGCUUUUUAUUUUUUCUAAUGCUCUUUUUUCGUUAACGAGUUUAUAUCCUAAGAGGGAUUGGAUUGAAAAAAAAAAAGUUUUGAUGUUCAAGGUAGGCCAUAAUAACCCGCAUCUUAUUUGUCUGCCUGUAUCUAAAUUUGUGCACUGAAUUUAGUAUUUUGGUUAUUGUGAAGGGAUCAGAUAUUGGCUUCCAUAGACCAACUUGUAUUUAGUUAAUUAAUUAAUUAACGACAUUUAAUAUUUAACAAAUUAAAAUUUCGUGUUUAAUCUAUUUUAAUUUUUUUAAGAAAAAAGAAAAAGAUAUAGCAAUAGGUAAAGCUAAAAUAAAUUUUAAUUCCUUACAAAUUUAAAUUCAUGGUUGUCAGCUAAAUAUACUUACUUAAAGCCACUCAGUCGAGCCCUUUGAGAGCUGCUUUAAAUUUUUAGCCAUAUUCUUUUCUUAUUAAUAAAAUUCUUUUCGCUGAGAUUUAACAUAAAAAAAGGAGAAAAUAAGUUAUUUAAUUAACUCUGUUUUAAGUGUUGGAAUAAAUACAGGACUGGAAUCCUUGAGUAACUUGGAGGAGCUGGGCAUGAGCGACAAUGCAAUCGACAAUCUAGUGGUUCCUAAAGGUAUACAAAAUGUUCAAAUAUUAAUAAUUUGGAGGACAGUUUAAUUGAUUUGAUUAGGGAAUGCCCAAUGACACUUACCCAAAAUAAUUUAAUCCGAAAUUGUAUCCCAAAUAGAUUACAGAGGUUUGAGGUAGUUGAAUACCUUUUAUUUGGGGAGGGGGGGGGGGGGGGGGGGGGGGGGGGGGAGGGAGGGAAAUUGCAGUGAUAUAUGGAAGCAAGGUGUUGCAAUAAAUAAAGAAAUUCGUUGGUCAAUAUUCAAGGACUCAUCCAAAGUAAUCGUUAAAGUCUAAAGCUCUGCUCUCCUCCAACUCAAACAUUUCUUCAAUGAUGAGAAUUAUUCAGAUUGUUGUCAGUGGGAAGGGGUUGAGUGCAACAACACCACUGGCAGAGUGAUUAAAUUAGAUCUAGGAGCCACUAGGAAUCGGGAAUCAGCAGAGUGGCAUAUGAAAGAUAACUAGAACUUGGAAUAACUUAAAUUAGCUAUAAAAUUAAGACCAUUAUACAACUAAAAAGAAAGAAAAAUUGUUUGCUACUACAUAUCAAAACUAGUAAUAGCAAUGAAAGAUGGCAGACUUCUUACUUAAACAGAUGAGAGGCUACAAAUAAAAAAUUUGUGCAAAUAAAUAUAUGAUAAAGAGCAUAAUACUUUCUUGGGGGCUAAAAAUAAUAUACAACUUGUGAAAUAUAAAUUGAGCUACCAUUACCUUUUAGAUGUGGCAACUUUCGACUUUUGAGGCACUUUGGAAUAUGCAUUCAGAAUCCUGCAUUUGGAAGCCAAAUAAAUAAUGUUAAUAACAAUUUUACAAUAGAAAAAUUAAAAAUUGAUAAAUGGCAGUUGUAAUUUAUGUAUGUGUAAAGAUAGCAUCACAUCCAGGGUCCUCCCAUAAACAUGCUUGUAACAAGAAUUAGUUUGCGUCAACUGCUAGCAACUAUACAAUAGUAAAAAUCACUCUUAUGAACUCAACAAUACUAGGCACCAAUAAGAGUAUGAUACAGCCAUUCUAAAUGGAAGAGAAUACAACUGUUUUACAACUAUGUUGCAUCAGGAGAUAUGUUAGGAGUUUUAAUCCAGAUACCUUCCAACCCAAUUAGGAAAACUCGAGUCAGAAACCAGGAGCUGCAACUGAACCUUACAAUCUUGAAGGAAGAAGGAGACUUGGGGCAUUUUUCUAGAUAGGUGACUUACUAGAUCUACUGCCAAGAAAAUAUCUAUUGCUUUGAACCUCCAUUGAAAUUUCUUUUCCCUUUUUCUUAUUUUGACUUGGAACUUUCCAGCAUCAUCUAUUUGAUCUUUUUUAAAGCUAAAAUAGCAAUCUACGGGUUGUCAACAUCUUAUCCCCCCCCCCCCCCGGGGGCCCCCAAAAAAAAAACAUCAAUGAGUUGUCAAUAAAUAGCGCCUACUCAACUUAUGUUCUCCAAUGGAUGACAAUGUGCAAAUCGACCUAGCAGCCACAUUUUCCCCCCCUUUCAACCACCAUUAGGCAACUUUUCUAACCUUUCUUCAUUGCCCACGUCUACAGAACUAUCAUAUAAAGACUACAAGAUAGACGCACGGUAUCUAAAUAAUUGUACCAACCCCCUCUCCUGAUUGUCAUAAAACGGCCAAUAUUUAACGCUCGACAACAAAAUUGCAAAUACUCUAGCCUCUAUAUUAUUGGCAUAUAAAUAUUUUCGGUUAGGUACAUUAUAUUCUUCGUUCUAAAACCUCAAUUAUUGGCUAGUACUGUGAUAAAAUGAUUCAUCACUGAAAAUAAAACUAGUUCACGUACAAAUAAUCAAAAACUGAAAUAGAAGCAACGAUAAACCAACCUGUAUUACGUCGAUUCAUCACAACAAACUGAAAUCGAGGCUGUGUGUUCCUGAAAAUUGAAAAAAUAAUAAUUUCACCAACUUCAUGUGUAAUACAAUCUCCAAAACACCAAAUAUCAAAUGAAAAAAUGGAAAGCAUAAGAUAGAAAAGAAUCUAAUUUUAUUGACCUUUUGACGACGACGAGAGAGCCUUCAACAUCCUUACGACUCCAUUGGCUGAGGUCGAUGUUGAACUCGUAGAAGGUGACAUGAGCGGCCGUGAUGAGGAUCUCCUCAAUGAAUGGAUCGAUUCGCUGAAGAACUGUCAGGUUUAGGAGUUUUGUGCUCUGCUGGUCCAGAUUAGGCAUCAAUUUUCCGUUAUGCGACAUUUUUCAUAGUCGUUUUGGGCUCUGCCCCGAGCACAAGCCCCAGGGUUUUUCUGUGAGCUCUCUCUUUUGUAAAUAAAGUGUUUGAUGAGAUAGCCGAGAGAGAGUGAAAGUGUUGAACAGCCAAACACGGUCUCGAGAUUGAUCUUGCUUUAACUUCUUUUAAACAUUUGGGAAAUAGCAUUUAUUUCUUUUAGUUUCUCUACUUUUUUUUUCCUUUAUGUCAUUUAGACCCCAAAAUUAGAUUUAUUAUAAUCCUAUUUUACCCAUACACUAUUAACCCCUUUUAUUUUUAAAAUUUGUCAAUAUUAAUGUGUUAGAAUAAUGUUAAAAAUCCCAAUUAUUAUCUCAAUGUUUCAAUCAUAACUAAUGUGAUAACUCAUUGGUAACUGCAACAUUAACUUAAUUAUUAAUGUAACACAAUAAAAGUUUCGUACAGAUUUUGAUAUUGAGAGUAACACAAUAAAAGUUUCAUACAGAUUUUGCAAACGAAAAGCACAUAAUACACUUAACUAGGAGGAAAAAUUAAGGUGUAUAUAUUACAAACUGCUAACAAUAUACAAUUGUAAAAAUCACUCACAAAUACUAGGCACCAAUAAGAGUAUGAUACAGCCAUUCUAAAUGAAAGAGAAUACAACUGUUUUACAACUAUGUCACAUCAAGAGAUAUGUUAGCAGGAUUAAUCCAGAUACCUUCGAACCCAAUUAACGAACUCGAGUCAGAAACCAGGGGCCCCCAACUAAACCUUACAAUCUUGAAGGAAGAAGGAGACUCGUGGUCCAGAUAGGUGACUUACUAGAUCUCCUGCAAAAGAGAAUAUCUAUUGCUUUGAACCUCCAUUGAAAUUUUUUUUUCCCUUUUUCUUGUUUUGACUUGGAACUUUCCAACAUCAUCUAUUUGAUCUUUUUUGAAGGUAAAAUAGCAAUCUAUAGGUUGCCAACAUGUUAUUCUGCCAAACCCCACCCCACCCCCCCGGGGGACAACAAAUCGACCUAGCACACACCUUUCUUCAUUGCCCACACCUACAGAACUAUAAUAAAAAGACUACGUUACUAUUGGGGUAGAGAAAAUAUACAGACUGUAUUAUUAUUACAUCGCAUUUUACUAAUUAACUAGUGCAAGACUUCUUUAGUGUCAAAUCAAGAACUAAUUAGAAAAGACAACUCAUGAUAAUACAGACCUUAAUAAGCAAUUGCUAACAACAUCCCAUAUACUCCUAUUUUAGCCUUCAUUAUCCUGGUAAAAACACAAAUAAGUCUUGCAAACGAACAUUUAUAAGUAAAUUCAACAUUAAUUAAGAUUAGGUAUCUACUGCACCUAAUAGCAUGGUCAACCAUCCAGUUCCUGUAGCCUUCCAUGUACCUAUGUUAGUUACAUUUUACAUAUUAAGCCACGAAAACGAAGAAUCACAGCCUGGUAAAGAAAGACAUUAAUUAAUAGUUUUUGUUUAAAAAGUUCUCCUUUAGAUCUUUCCUAUUCAAUGAAUCAAUGUAAUCUAAAGAGAAUUCUUCCAUUUCAAACAGUGUUAGAAGGUAUUUGCAAAGCCUAAAGAUAAUAUACAAGGACCAAGAUAUACACAGAUGGUUUCUUUAUGGAAUUAAAGAGCUUUAUAGAUGUUAAAACUGUUUCAAACAAUUUUUCUUGUUUGGUUUAACUAAGGAAAAGCUUGUGGAAGAUUAAAAAUGAUGUUUCCUAUUCUCUGUAGGAAACUUUUAGGAGAUUUUUUGGGCUUUUUUGAAAGGUUGAAUUGUCAAAAAUACCUUGAUGUUAUUGUUUGCUAAAAGAUGUUACGGACAUCUAAACAACCAACAACAUUUUGUUAAAAGCUCUACUAGUGUAGGAUCUACUUAAAGAAGCUAUACCAAACAGACUCUUAGACUGAAUAACUCGAUCUUAAGUUUGUAAAAUUGGGCUCAGAAUCUCCACUAACAACCCCGCUUCGGUGAGAAAGCCCAAGCCUGUUACUUUGUAUAACCUUAUUCUGUAUGUUUGAUUGCAGGAACUGGCCGAUCAUACCGACGAGGUGAGUGUGCAACAUGAGGUGCUUGACGGGAUGUUUACUUUCUAUGAUACAACUAAAGCUAGCCUCAACAUAUAUCAGGUGCCUGCUUGUUUUUACCUUCUAGAUACUAAUAUUGUUUAGACGUGUAAUCUCUCUCUCCAUUGAACGCUAGACGGCUCGUCUCAAGCCUUCUACGUACUUCAGAGUCCUUCACUAGCUUUUUAUGUAUAAAGUUUUGAUCUUUUUCCUUCAUUUGCUUGAAGCUCAUUACUGCAGAUUUUUUUUACAGGUUGGUAGUGUAACAUUCGACUUGCUGUUGCUUCUAGUCUUGGGAUCGUAUUUAAUUGUGCUUUUCAGCUUUCUUGUCAUAACAACUAGGGUAUCACUCUUUCUCCAUAUCAAGCUUGAAGUUCUAAAUUUCAGUUUUAUCUUUUAUUUGAUGUUUUAUAAUUUCAUUGCAAACAGAUUAGAAUAGAAACUUCAAAAGUUCCAACUGACUAGUCCCGUGUAACUUUUUCAGGGAAGAUUUUCUCUCAUAACAACUACGAACGUGUUAUGGUUUAGCCCAGUGACACAAAGGACAGUUUUCAACAAUUGAUCCUAGGAAGAUGCCCAUAGCUUGUUGUGCCAAAAAUAGAAAAUCUAAGAUGCGAAAAAAUUUUGUUGAGAUUCAUUUUUCAUCCUGAUGUUACCGCUGGCCUUUUUUUUUUUUUUUUUUGGCAGAGAAUAAUGCUUAUGUGAUUUCUGAACUUGGUGAUUGUUGAAAUGAGCUGAAAAUGAGCUGGAAAUGUGUUUGGUUAAUGAGAAAGAGAGCAAGAAAAUGAAAGAAAUCUAUUUCACUUUUUAUUUAUCAGCAUGAUUACAUUCACAAUGAAUCUAAGCUGCUAUUUAUACUUAAAUGACUACACACGAGAAUCUUCUUGCUAGAUACUUCUAGAAACUCUACACGCACACUCACACUGAGCUAGUGGUUACCAAAACCGUUACAACGAUAUUGCCAGCUCAGCAUAACCAACUUAUAACUAACACACUCAGCUGCAGGGGAAACCAUCAAGCUUACUGUGCGUCCUCUGUAAUCAAGCUUCUUUAAGCAUGCUCUGCAGAUCAUACGUCUGAAUUAUCGAAACAAGAUGAAUUAUUUUUUGUUUAUUGCAGCAGGCGAUCAAUGAGCGGAAUUUCUAGCUUGUAUUCAAUUCGCGAACACAGUUUGAGAAGAAUCAGACCAUUAAUUUUCUUUUGAGCCAAUCAACAGAAUGUACAUUUCUUCUAAGAACUUGUAACCGAAACCGCAGUUUUUCAGGUUUGAUGCAUCUGGGAAAAUUGUCAGAUGGAAUAAAACCACCAUGCGCCAAGGUACCAAUGAUGUUUCUUCCAGCUUAUGAGCACUUCAAAUAAACUUAGGUCAUAUUUACACAAGGGCGCACAUGAUAUCAAUCUAAUGGCAAUUAUAUCAUCUAAAAUCCAAAACCAAGAGUCUCCCAUUUUCCCGCCCUCUACUCUGUUCGUAUUAUCAUAACUUGAAGAUUGCAAGGCAGCCGCAAUCUCCCAGAUCUUUGCUCCUUCCUCAUAGCAGUUAGUCAAACGAUAAACAGAGAUAUCCCAUGUCAACAAGAAGGUAAUCAUAAAAGAACAACAGAAUUGUUGCAAUAUAUUCAUAUGAAAUGUAAAACAAUUUUGAGAAAAAAUAUUGGGAAGAUGAUUUUUUUUUUCAUAGAAGUUGCAAUCUUUACGUUAUAUGCUAGUUUGACUAUGCUAUAUAAGGAAGCUAUAUGAAAUUAGAAAAAUAAGCUAUACUAGGAAAGAAUAAAUAUAUGUACAGAAAAUGAGGCUAUAAUCCCUGACUUUCAACAAAUUUAAUAUCAAUUUUCUUCUGGAAGUUGUCUCAAAUGGGGUGCAUCAGUAUUGUAACAUACUGUGAGAUGCUUAAACUCAACAAUAUAAGCAUGGUAAAUUAGAGAAAAAUGAUGCAAUUUUACCUUCCCAUUCAUGUAUGCCAAGGCUUUUUGGGCUUCCUCUUCUGUACUGAAAGUCACAUACCCGUAACCUUUUGAUCUAUUCUUACCUUUAUCCAUUAUUAUUGUAGCUGCAAAAAGAAAAGAACCGGAUAUUACAAAAUAGUGAAAGGGAAGAGGGGUUGAGACUUAAAACAGAAAUAGACCAAACCCUCAGUGACUUGGCCAAAUUGUGAAAAAGCAUCAGCUAACAUCUCUUUAGUGGUCGAGAAAGAUACGCCUGCAAAGAAUGCCAGUUAAUUUUAUCAUAAUUAGAUGGUAAGAUUGCAAAUUCUGCAGCCAAAGGUGGUACGGAACUGAAUGAAGGAAAUCAAAUAUGAAUAUGUUUUCAAUCUUAAAAUAUUAAGAGUAGCAUAAGUAACUUGUGAAACAGUUAUAAGUUCAAGGGAAUUAGAUGAUGGCAUGGUUGAAUUUUAUAAAUAUUUGAUAUUUUGGACCGAACAGGGCAAACAGAUGGAUCCAGAUAAUCAAGAAAAACAUCAAUUCCAUGCAGCCAAAUUAGUGUGGGCAAUGCAAUUGAGCAACACUAUAAAAUUAUUCAAAGAAAUCUCUAGGUCAGUAUCCAAAUAUAUGGCUCCGUCCGUUCCACCACCACAACCAAAAAAAUCAGAUCCCCCCAUUUGGAUUCGAUUGAUUAAUUUGAGCAUAAAAAAUCGGGUUUUAAACUUCCCUAAGCAAAAUUUAUAUUCCACAGAAUCAGUUCCUUUAACAUGAUGCAUUACAUAAUAUUUUGUUUGCAAAAUAAAGAAGAAAGAUGACAUAAUAGAAACACUCACAGAGAGAGAAUACCUUUGACGAAAAGCUUAGAAGUGAAUCCUCUGUAAAAUACGAGUUGAGCUGCUGAAUUUUUCGAGUUUGAAUGAGAGACUGCGGCAAUUCUGAAAAUGUUUUUUUCUCAUUAGCGCCGCCAUUUUUGUAAUAGAGGGUAAAGAAAUAAGUAACAAAGUAAGAGGUGAGCAGAAGCGGCCCAAUUUAGUUAUAUGCCAUGCAUGCGAUCAAAAUUGAAUGGUUAAAUGGCAGCCACUAUGUUACAUCUUGUGUAAGUAACAAACCGCCUACAUGGAUCGUUGGAUUUGGGAAUAUGAAAUCCAAUGGAUAAUAUUGAAUUUAACGAAAAAUAGAUUACAGGUUGCAUUAGUCCAAGUUUAUUUCAAACAAACCAGCUGAUGAAAUAGCCGCUAAUCGAAUUUAAAAGGGAAAAAAAAUCAAAUUAUAGGUUAUAGAUCUUAUUUCCAUCUUAAAUCUAUGUCUUUCAUGGUGACUCAAUGUGUAUACUAAUUUAUAAUUUGGAUCUAUAUUAGAGGCUUAGAGCCAAUGCUUCCCUAAAUAACUAAGAAAAUUUUCUUUUCAUUGAUUAAAUAUUUAUUUCCAAUAUCUUGUAUAUGUAGGAUUUGAAAAGAGGGAAAAUAGUAGGGAUGAUGAUGAGAGAAGAUAAAGAUGUCGAUUCUCAAAUCUAAUAUUAAUGCUAUACUUAUAUUCCUAUAGUAAAUAAAUUAUCCAAGGUUCGUGGUUAAUGAUACGUUGCGAAAUUUUAACUGUCUAAUAUGGCUUUUCAUAAAGCUUAGAGAAAAGUAGGGCUUUUACAAAAAAAAAAAUUUAAUUAGAAUUGUCAAUGAUAAAUUUUAAAAAGUACUUUAAUAAAUAAGCUUUUAAAAUUAUAUAUAUUAUGAAAGAAAUGAAAUAAGAUUAUAUAAUAAAUUAAGAGUAUCUUAGAUAAUUGAACUUUAAAAAUAAAACUUGCUAAGAGGUUUAAAAUUUGAGUUUUUAAUAGUGGAUACAAAAUAGUUUAUUUAAUUCUCAAAAGUACUAUUCAAAAUACAACCAUGUAACACAAAAAUUUUUAAUAAGUUUUUUGGACUAGUUAAGUACUUUUUUUGAAAAAAAAUAUAUUUUUUUCAUUGAGUAAAUAAUACUAAACAUGCACUAAAGUGUUAGGACCAGAAGUUGUACAAAUAAAACCAUGAAAUUAUAUGUUGUUGGAUGGAUAUUUUUCAAAUUUGCUGUAGUUUUUUUUUUUUAAUUUUCUGCUGGGAAAUUGAAAUGAUGGCUACAACUUAAAUUAUGAAUGGAGUAAUCGGAGAAUAUUGAAACCCAUUUAAUUUGGAUCGUGCAUUGAGGGACGAAAGGAUAAAAAAUUUAAUUUUGAAAUUGCUGUUGGGUACGGUACAAUGACUUACCGUUGACAGCUUUUGCAACCGGAUUACAAUCGGUUAGUUCAAUAAUUUUAUAUCCCUAUUUAACCGCCACGUGCUGCUGUUACAUGGGUCAAUUAAUCAUGUCUUUACCGAUACUUACAACUGCUGGUUAAAUUCUGUUGUUUCCAAUAAUUUUAUGCUGUAUCUUCUUUAAUAAUAAAGAAAACUUGCAUUAAAAUUAAAAUUAGGGUAAUACCUGAUUUUAUAAAUAGAUUGCAAUGUAAUUUUGAAAAAUAAAACAAUAAUUUACAAAAUGUUUAUAACAUAAUUUUAAUUUUUUUCAAAAAGGAAAAACAACAAAAGUAAGAAAUAGAGAAUAAGGGCUACCAACUUUGUAUCUUAAACGGCCGUUAAAUUAUUUGUAAAUGAAAGCAACGGUCAGAUAUUGGUGGAUUAUGGAAACAUGUAAUCAUAAGGACUACGAGUUUUUUUUGUUACAUUGAUAUAUUACAAUUAAAAUUCUAUUGGUAUUUACAACUAGAAUUUCAUCUGACUAUCUUUGAUAAUUCUAAACUAGUACAGCCCAAAUUCUUAUUCUCAUAUAAUAUCAAAGAUAGAUAUAUAUUCUUUUCCUCCAUUAAUAACGAGACAUUUUUACUUCUAUCCAAUUUAAAUAGAACAAGAAUUAAGUCAUUUUAAUAGUUAGGACUCAGAACUCAUACACACUAGUUUGAGAGUGUGGGGUGUGACAAUGGGCCAAGAGACCAUUGACAAGUACAAAAGAGUGGUAGAAAUUAAUUCAAACCGCUACACACGCUAUUGCAACCAAAUUGAGGGCCCAUUUUUGUUUAUUUCGUUGAAAAGUAGUCUGUAAAAUUAACUCAAACCGCUACAUACGCUAUUGCAACCCAAUUGAGGGCCCAUUUUUGUUUAUUUUGUUGAAAAGCAGUUUGCGCAAUUAAUUCAAACUGCUACACACGCUAUUGCAUCUUUUGAAAAAGAAAAAUGGAAUAGUUUUUCAAAAUUAGUUUAGAGAAUAAGAUUUACUAAUAAUGAUGUUAGAAAUCUUAAUAUUUGAAUCUUAAUAUUAUCUAUCACUCGUUUAUUAAAUAAUAGAUUUCAUAGUUUGUAAAAUUACUUAACCACUUGAUAAAUGUUAUAUUUGUUGGGACUAGAUUGGGACUUAAAUAUUGGAAUAUCUAGUAUUGCAUAAAAAAAAAAAAACUUAACAAUUUAUCUUCACACGACUAAUUGUUUUUACAUCACAACUAACCUUAAUUAUUUUAAAAGUUAUAGUAUUAUUAAAUUGCCCUAACUAGUUAUCAAAAGGUGAAAGCAUGUUUAAAAAAGAAAUUACUAAGAAACAUUUGUUUAAACGAAGGUUAAGGUUAUGAUCAAUUAAUUAAGAAGAAACUUACUAUCAAAGGUUAAGAUUAUGAACAAUUUAAGGAAGUUAUUGAGUAGAGAAAGGGACAGAAUGGUUGUCUGAUUUGUCGGUGACAAGAAUGCUUGUGUUGUGAAAAGAAAGCCGAUGGUUUGUAAAUUUGUUGAAUUGGUCCCAAUUAGUAUAGUAACCAUCUAUUGAGCGGUAAAAUAUUAAUUUAAAUAGUCAUGAAAUCUAAUAUAUAAUAGAUUACUAACACACAUAAAUUAAAACUUAAUUGUCAGAAAUCAUAACAUUAUUCUAAGCUUCAGUGGAGUUCUCUUAACAGAUUAUGUGAGAUUGCCUAUAUUAAAAAUAUGUUGAGACUGCUUGUUGAAAGCAAUAUUCGCUUUUCCAUUAUAUCCAUAACUUUGAAUUGAUAAAGUUGUAUUCAGCAGCUCUUGAAAAGACUAAUUUAUUUUAACUAGUCAUAGAAAUAAGAGAGAAAAGGGGCUAUUUCUUGACUCAAAGUCAAUUAUAAUUAUCAAAACUUGAGGGGACAUCGCAUGCCUAAAUUCCACGCACCCUAAUACGGUUUGAUUUGCUUUCACGCGUUCAUGAAUUUCCAUGAAAGAGCCUGCCUUUCGUCUCUUUCGGGACAGUGACUACAAUAAUGGAAAAAAUUAUAAUUCUCGUUAGAUUGUAACCAAAUUAUUAUCCCUAAUUUUUUUAAGUUACAUAUAAUAAAAUUCAUGCUUAAGUAUUUAGUAAUUAGAGAGAGAUAGAGAGGAUUGAGGGCCAAUGUUUCGCGAUUUGGGGUCAAUUCAAAGUCAACUAACGUGAAAAACACGUGUAUGCAUAGAAAACGCUUAGAUUAUUUGUGUUCCAAGUGCAAGAAAUUAAGAAAAGAAAAAUUGAUUUCCUUUCAUGAACUUCCAAGAAAGAAAGAAGACCCUUCACCUUCUUCGUUACAACAAAUGAAUGAAUGAUGUUGAUAUGACAAAUACAAGCGCUAUUACAGGGAACAACAUAAGACUGAGACUUGAUAAAGUGUUUGUUAAAUUACAUGUUAUUUUCUUUUAACUUGAAUGAUGUUGAAAAUAAAAUAAAAUAAAAUUGUAAUCAGGGUGAUGUGUGGAAUAUAGUGAAAUAAAUAAAUAGAGAAGAGAAAUUUGUUGAUCAAUAUUAAAGACACAUCCAAAGUGAUCGUCAAAGUCUAGAGGUUCGGUAUGAUUAGCAUUUAUUUUAUUUUUUUUGGCUUAGCAUCAUAUAUAGUCACCUGUCGUGUGAUCUAGGACAGGUUUAGAAAUCCUUUUAUUUUAACUUCUGUAUUCUUAUUAUUUAAUUAGUUAUAGGGUUUUUAAGUAUUUGAGUAUUGAUCACAUGUCUCCUAAUCUAAAAAUAUGUUUUUACGAGUACAAAUAACAAACUAGGAUUUUAACAGCCUUUUAUACUAAACCCUAAAAAUACAUGAAUUUAUCAAAAUAAGUAAAUUAAUUUAAAUUAGUAUGGCAUAGUAGAAGUUUUACCUGCCGAAACAAAUUAAAAAAAUAUUACACUUAAAUCAAAUAUUGACAAAAAUAGAUAACAAUCUAAUGAGAAUCUUAACUAGACAUUUUUACUUCUAUCCAAUUUAACUGGAAUGAGAAUUAAGUCAUGUCAAUAGUUAGGACUCAUAACUCAUACACACUAAUUUGAGAGUGUGGGGUGUGACAAUGGGUCAAAAGACCAUUGACAAGUAUAAAAGAGUGGUCGUAAUUAAUUCAAACCGCUACACACGCUAUAUUGAGGGCCCACUUUUGUUUAUUUCGUUGAAAAGUAGUUUUCACAAUUAAUUCAAACUGCUACACAUGCUAUUGCGUUUUUUUUUUUUUUUUUUUUUUUGAAGGGAAGCAAUUUCAUUAAACCAAAACGAAUUACAGACUAUGUAAUAACCACAAAGGUGGAACGAAAUUCCACUCUUGGGGACCUGACAUAGAACCUACUGCCCUUGCAACAGAGUGAGCAGCCAGGUUCGUAGACCGACGUACAAACGAGAAUUGUACUUCUCCUAAAGACUUAGCUAAAGCUCGACAUUCAUCAACUAUUAAACCAAAACCGUUAGGCCCUGAAAACUCCUCAACUAGAGCUUGAAAUACUUGUAAACAAUCAGUUUCAACAAUGACACAAGGAAAUUGUAAGCCUUUAAGCCAACUAAGGGCCUCCCGAAUACCAAGAGCUUCAGCCUCCCUUGCUCCAAAAUUCCCAGCCAUUCCAGCACAUCUUGCUGUUAAGAAAACACCCUCUGAAUUUCGAAGCACACACCCAAAACCAAUAUUUCCCUGAGAUGAAAAGAUAGCAGCGUCAACAUUACGUUUGACCCAACCAAACUUUGGCCUCUCCCAACAUAUUGCCCCAUGGACCAGCUUAUGGACAUCAGUAUCAGCAUAGAAUUGUUGCUUCUUUGCUGCUUGCCACUGAUAGAGAAGUUGCCCAGCAGAAUUGAGCACUUGAUUCACUGAACCAGUUUUGUUAUUCCAUACUUUGUCAUUCCGAUUAAUCCAAACUCUCCAGCAGAUCAUCAUGGCAACAUGGCAUUCUUCUUUGCUGCAGCGUGUAAAGAUGUGAUCAAGCCACUCUAAGAAAGAAUAACAAUGGCCAACAAAACCCACAGAGGAAGAAAUCCAGCAAGCCUUAGCAACAUUACACUCAACCAACGAAUGGAGAAUAGUUUCAUCAGAAGCAAGACACACAGCACAAGUAGGGGGGAUAUUCACCCUCUUAGAAAUUAAAUUAACUGCAGUAGGCAGCACAUUAGUUGCCGCUCGCCAAACAAAAUUCUUAACCUUAUUCGGCACAUUCAAGUUCCAUAGUUUUCGCCACACAUCUGUGAAAGGGCCAGGGGUAAGAGAAUGUAAAACGUUAUAACAGCUACGGACUGAAUAGCAUCCGCGAGAAUCAGCCAACCAAUACCACACAUCAUCAUUUCGGCGGGAACUAAGGGGAAUUUGAAGAAUCAACUCCUUGUCUCUUGCGUUGAAAAGAUCCAAAACAAGAUCAUAAUCCCAAGCUCGUUGAUUAGGCACCAGUAAACUACUAACAGGAGCUGCAGCAAGCUCGGCAUGGAGAUUAGAAGGAACAAAUCCAUUAUUAGUAUCAGGAAGCCACGGAUCCUUACCAAUGAAGAUCGAAUUUCCACAGCCAACUUGCAGUCUACUCCCUUGAAUUACCACAUCCUUUGCAGCCAAAAUAGAGCGCCACAUAUAGCUAGGAUUAUGCCCCGCAGAAGCUUGAAGAACAGAGGUGCGCGGAUGGUAGCGAGCUUUAAUUAUCUUGGCCACAAGAGAUUCCGGACAAGUUAACAGCUUCCACAUUUCCUUUCCUAACAUCGCUAUAUUGAAUAAAUGAAGUUGUUUAAAACCAAGGCCACCAUAUCCUUUUGGUUUGCACAGAUUUUCCCAUUUGGACCAGUUUAAAAAAGAAAAAUGGAAUAGUUUUCCAAAAUUAAUUCAGAGAAGAAGAUUUACUAAUAAUGAUGUUAGAAAUCUUAAUAUUAUGUAUCACUCAUUUAUUAAAUAAUAGAUUUCAUAGUUUGUAAAUUUACUUAACCACUUGAUAAAUGUUAUAUUUGUUUGAAUUGAUCCAAUAGCUCUUGAAAAGCACAUAAUAAUCAUUAUAAAUUUAAUCAAAGACUAAGCAGGUCUUCUUUGCAUUUGAUCACUGGCAUUUCAGUUAAGUUUGUCAUUUAUUUAAAUUUUUCUUGCUUUCAAUUUCCACUGUUGUUUUUUUUAAUAAAAUAAUUUAUUUAAACUAGUCAUAGAAAUAAGAGAGAAAGGGCGCCAUUUCUUGACUCAAAGUCAAUUAUAAUUAUCAAAACUUGAGCGGACAUUGCAUGCCUAAAUUCCACGCACCCUAAAACGGUUUGAUUUGCUUUCACGCGUUCAUGAUUUUGCAUGAAAGAGAGUGCCUCUCGUCUCUUUCCGGACAGUGACUGCAAUUAUGUUAACGUGACGAAUACAAAACGUUAUUACAUACAAGAAUAAGUUUUUGGAGCCGAUACUUGAGGGAGGUUCUAUCUAAUUCUAAAGAUUGUAACCAAAUCAUUAUCCCUAAUUUUUUUAAGUUAAAUAAAAUAAAAUUCAUGCUUAAGUAUAAAUAAUUUUUUUAAGUUAAAUAUAAAAUAAAAUUCAUGAACUUCCUAGAAAGAAAGAAGACCCUUCACCUUCUUCGCGACAACAAAUGAUGUUGACAUGACAAAUACAAGCUCUAUUACAGGGAACAGCAUGAGACCGAGACUUGAUAAAUAUUAAAUAUAUAAAAUAAGUGGAGCAAACGAACAGAAUAAUAGAUUUUUAUAAUAUUCUUCAUAAAAAUCCAAGUUUUGAGCUGGCCUAUAAGCUUAUCUAGUGAAGUCUGGGUAUCCGCGUUGCCCAAGGUUCCGUUUGAAUCCAGGCCGUGUAGAUGUUUAAGACAUCGCAUAUGGACGGAGUGGAAAUAUUUUCAGUUGACUGAAUUAAAUAAAAAUAUAUUACAAUCAUAUUAUAUAUUAGCAGCAAAAAUAAAAAGAAAUGAAGAAAAACGCAUGCAAGACUUAGACAAGUCAAUUAAAAGCUGGGAGUAUCAUCAGUUCAAUUGAUUAUAAAUAGCGUAGAGCCAUCCUCUCGUUGUUGCAGAACUGAAGCAAAGAGACUCAGAAAGAGUGUGUGUAGGUGAUUAUAAUUAAGAAGAUAUAAUGUGUGGUUCAAAAAGAGUGUGGGUGAGUGAGUUAAUUUUCAUAUUAUUAGUAGUAAAAGGGUGGUGGAGUGAGGGAUGUUUGGAGCAAGAGAGGUCUGCUCUCCUACAACUCAGACAUUUCUUCAAUGAUGAUCAACUUCUUCAAAACUGGGUAGACGAUGAGUAUUAUUCAGAUUGUUGUCAGUGGGAACGGGUUGAGUGCAACGACACCACUGGAAGAGUGAUUGAAUUACAACUACUAGAAACUCGAAAACAGGGAUCAGCAGAGUGGUAUAUGAAUGCCUCUCUGUUUACUCCAUUUCAACAAUUAGAGUCUCUUGAUUUAAUGGGGAACAAUAUAGCCGGUUGUGUUGAAAAUGAAGGUCCUUAAUUUACUCUAUUUUAAUUCUUCCUCGUAAUUUCUUACAUUUAUCUGAUCCCUUUUGAUUUUUGUUUAAUUUAUUCGUGAUACAAUAAAAUUACUUUUUAUUUUUUGUCAGGUCUAGAUAGGUUAUCAAGGUUGAACAACUUGAAGUUUCUUUACUUAAACCUUAACCACUUCAACAACAGCAUCUUUUCAUCCAUAGGUGGUCUUUCAUCACUCAGACGCUUAUCAUUGGCUAGUAAUGAAUUGAAUGGAAGUAUUGAUAUUAAAGGUAAGCAAGCUUCAUCCCUUCUCCCGUGUCCCAUCUUUUGUGGAUCUUAUUUUAUUGACCGGCUGGAAGUAUUGAUAUAAGAUCUGGCUAGACUCUUGCUAGUUUAAGCUUCAAGGAUUUAAAUAUUAUAAAAAUAGGUUUAAGAAAUUAUCAAUAUAUGCAAUUUUCAAUGCUUCUCAUAAUCAGACACAAUUCAAUCUAAUUAUUUUGUAUGUCCUGUCUUCAAAAGUAAAGAAUUGUACACUAAAUGGAAAUCGACAUCGUAGCUUUUUAUUUUUUCUAAUGCUCUUUUUUCGUUAACGAGUUUAUAUCCUAAGAGGGAUUGGAUUGAAAAAAAAAAAAGUUUUGAUGUUCAAGGUAGGCCAUAAUAACCCGCAUCUUAUUUGUCUGCCUGUAUCUAAAUUUGUGCACUGAAUUUAGUAUUUUGGUUAUUGUGAAGGGAUCAGAUAUUGGCUUCCAUAGACCAACUUGUAUUUAGUUAAUUAAUUAAUUAACGACAUUUAAUAUUUAACAAAUUAAAAUUUCGUGUUUAAUCUAUUUUAAUUUUUUUAAGAAAAAAGAAAAAGAUAUAGCAAUAGGUAAAGCUAAAAUAAAUUUUAAUUCCUUACAAAUUUAAAUUCAUGGUUGUCAGCUAAAUAUACUUACUUAAAGCCACUCAGUCGAGCCCUUUGAGAGCUGCUUUAAAUUUUUAGCCAUAUUCUUUUCUUAUUAAUAAAAUUCUUUUCGCUGAGAUUUAACAUAAAAAAAGGAGAAAAUAAGUUAUUUAAUUAACUCUGUUUUAAGUGUUGGAAUAAAUACAGGACUGGAAUCCUUGAGUAACUUGGAGGAGCUGGGCAUGAGCGACAAUGCAAUCGACAAUCUAGUGGUUCCUAAAGGUAUACAAAAUGUUCAAAUAUUAAUAAUUUGGAGGACAGUUUAAUUGAUUUGAUUAGGGAAUGCCCAAUGACACUUACCCAAAAUAAUUUAAUCCGAAAUUGUAUCCCAAAUAGAUUACAGAGGUUUGAGGUAGUUGAAUACCUUUUAUUUGGGGAGGGGGGGGGGGGGGAGGGAGGGAAAUUGCAGUGAUAUAUGGAAGCAAGGUGUUGCAAUAAAUAAAGAAAUUCGUUGGUCAAUAUUCAAGGACUCAUCCAAAGUAAUCGUUAAAGUCUAAAGGUCUGCUCUCCUCCAACUCAAACAUUUCUUCAAUGAUGAGAAUUAUUCAGAUUGUUGUCAGUGGGAAGGGGUUGAGUGCAACAACACCACUGGCAGAGUGAUUAAAUUAGAUCUAGGAGCCACUAGAAAUCGGGAAUCAGCAGAGUGGCAUAUGAAUGCUUCUCUGUUUUCUCCAUUUCAACAAUUAGAAUCUCUUGAUUUAACUGGGAACAAUAUAGCCGUUUGUGUUGAAAAUGAAGGUCCUCAAUUUACUCUACUCUAAUUCUCCCUCGUAAUUUCUAGCAUUUAUCUGAUCCCUUUUAGCUUGUGUUUAAUUUGUACGUGAUACAAUAAAAUUAGGUUUUAUUUUUUAUUUUUUAUUUUUUGGCAGGUCUAGAUAAGUUAUCAAGGUUGAACAACUUGAAGUCUCUUUAUUUAGACUUUAACCACUUCAACAACAGCAUCUUUUCAUCUCUAGGUGAUCUUUCAUCACUCAAACACUUUUCAUUGGCUGGUAAUGAAUUGAAUGGAAGUAUUGAUAUUGAAGGUGAGUAAGCUUCAUCCCUUCUCCCGUGUCCCAUCUUUUGUGGAUCUUAUUUCAUUGAGCAGCUGGAGGUACUGAUGUUAGAUCUAGCUAGACUCUUGCUAGUUUAGGCUUCAAGGCUUCGAUUACUAUAAAAAUAGGUGUAAGAAAUCAUCAAUACAUGCAAUUUUCAGUGCUUCUCAAAAUCAGACACAGUUUAGUCUAAUUAUUUUGUAUGUCCCGUCUUUAAAAGUAAAGAAUUGUAUUGUAAUUGGAAAUCGACAACGUAGCUUUUCAUUUUCUGUAAUGCUCUUUCUUCGUUAACAAGUUUAUAUCUUAAGAGAGAUUGGAUUCGGAAAAAGUUUUCACGCUCAAGGUAAGCCAUAAUAACUUCUUUCUUCGUUAACAAGUUCAUUAGUUCAAUUGGCAACUGUUUUUUAAGUUUUUCUGGUUAGCCGUAUACUUUUUUGCUUAUUAAUAAAAUUCUUUUGCGCCGAGAUUUAAAAAUAAAGGAGGAGAAAAUAAGUUAUUUAAUUAACCUUGUUUUAAGUGUUGGCAUAAAUACAGGACUGGAUUCCUUGAGUAACUUGGAGGUGCUGGACAUGAGCUUCAAUGCAAUCGACAAUCUUGUGGUUCCUAAAGGUAUACAAAAUGUUCAAAUAUUAAUAAUUUGGAGGACAAUUUAAUAGAUUUGAUUAGGGAAUGCCCAAUGACACUUAUCCAAAAUAAUUUAAUCCGAAAUUGUAUCCCAAAUAGAUUACAGAGGCUUGAGGAAGUUGAAUACCCUUGUCUUAGGGGGAACGGAAAUUGCAAUGAUAGAUGGAAGUAAGGCGUUGCAAUCAAUAGGAUCACUACUGUCCCUCAAAACACUUUACCUUUUGUAUACUAAUUUUACAGGAACAGUAGUUAAUCAAGGUAAGUAAAUCUUUUAUGUCGAAAAUAAUUGAAUUAAUAUAUAUAGCUAAAAUUUAUUGUUUCUAUUUCUUUCUAAAUAGAAUUACACAAUUUCACCAACUUGGAAGAAUUGAUAUUGGUCGAGUCUGAUCUCCAUGUAAGCCAGCUUCUGCAAAGCAUCGCAUCAUUCACUUCGUUAAAGUAUUUGUCAAUGCAAGUUAGUGUACUCAAGGGUGCCCUGCAUGGUCAAGGUAAAUUACGGGUAUCUGAAGCUUUUGUGAUAUUAAUUCGAUAAUGAUUCUUUCUUUUCAAGUUUAUUUUCUCCCGUAAAAUAAUAUUUUUUUCUUUUAAAUUUUAUAUACUUUCACUGUCCAAUAGUUCUACCUUCUCUAAAUUGUAGGAUUCUUGAUUAAGGUUAAUGAAUUUUUAGUUCUGUUAUGUUAAGAAUAUUUCGAUCGCUUAGAAGAGUAAGGAAAAAUAAGUAAAUUAACCCAAAAAAGAGAAAAGAACAGGACCGGAUUAUCCUUAUUCCCUUGCAUUAUGUGAUCAAUAUCAAAAUUAUAACCAUUUCUUGUUUAUUGCUUGUAGAUUUUCAUAAAUUCAAGAAUUUGGAACAUCUGGACAUGGAUUGGGUGCAGGUUAACGUCAACACCAGUUUUUUUCAAAUUGUCGGCGAAUCGAUGCCUUCUCUCAAGUUUUUAUCACUGGCAAAUUCAAGUCUUAAUAAAAACACCAUUCUUGAUCAAGGUUAAUUAAUGAUUCUCCUUCUCCCUCUCUCGCAUCAUAACUAAAUUUAAUUGAGAAUAUCUAUAAUGCUAGCUAUUUAUAAACUUAAUGAAAGUUGAUGAGGAGCCAUAUUAAUGACAAAAACAACUGUAAAAUAGUGCGCUGUUGUAGCGUUGAUUGAAAAAUAAUGCUAAUGUUUUACUUAACAACACUAUAAGUGAUCAAACUUAAUUUUUAAUGUGUACUUUAAAGAUUUUAUGCAAUUAUUUAAGUUUUAUGCAAUUAUAUUUUUCAGGACUUUGUCGGUUAGUGCAUCUGCAAGAGUUAUACAUCAGCGGUAAUGAUUUGAGAGGUAGCUUGCCAUGGUGCUUGGCAAACAUGACAUCCCUCCAAGUGUUAGAUGCCUCUUCUAAUCAACUUACUGGAAACUUUUCCCCAGGCCUUUGUGAGUUGGUGCUUCUGAGAGAGUUAUACAUUCACAACAAUGAUUUAAGAGGUAGCUUGCCUUUGUGCUUGGCAAAUUUGACUUCCCUUCGAGUAUUAGAUGUCUCUUACAAUCAACUUACUGAAAACAUCUCAUCUUCCCUCAUGCAUCUAAUAUCUAUGGAAAAGCUCAUACUUUCAAAUAAUCACUUCUUCCAAAUCCCUAUUUCACUUAAACCACUUUUCAAUCUCUCAAAACUCAAGACUUUCGAGGGUGAAAUAUGCGCAGAAACUGAGUCACAUUAUAAUUCUUUGACCCCAAAAUUCCAAUUGACUUCUAUCUCACUGUCUGGUUACAUAGAUGGUGGCACAUUUCCCAAAUUCUUGUACCAUCAGCAUGACUUGAAGAAUGCUGAUCUCUCACACCUUAACUUGAGUGGAAAUUUUCCAAAUUGGUUGGUAGAUAACAAUACGAACUUAGAGACGCUUCUUCUUGCCAACAACUCUCUUUUUGGAUCAUUUCGGAUGCCAAUUCAUUCCCACCAAAAAUUGGCAAAAUUGGAUGUCUCCAACAAUUUCUUUCAAGGCCAUAUUCCGGUGGAAAUCGAAACAUAUCUGCCAGUCUUAAUGGGUUUAAACUUAUCUAGAAAUGCUUUCAACGGUAGUAUUCCCUCUUCAUUUGCUGAUAUGAAAAUGUUGGAAAGGUUGGACAUAUCCUACAAUCAGUUGACUGGUGAAAUCCCUGAGCGCAUGGCCACGGGUUGCUUCUCAUUGGAAAUUCUUGCAUUGUCAAACAACAGUUUGCAAGGUCAUAUAUUCUCUAAAAAAUUUAACUUGACAAAUUUAUUAAGGUUGCAGUUGGAUGGUAAUAAUUUCAUUGGAGAGAUCCCAGAAAGCUUAUCUAAGUGCCGUUUGUUAGGAGGAUUAUAUCUGAGUGAUAAUCAUCUCACUGGUGAGAUUCCAAGAUGGUUGGGUAAUUUGUCAUUUUUACAAGAUAUUAUAAUGCCCAAUAACAAUCUUGAAGGGCCAAUUCCAAUCGAGUUUUGUCAGCUUGAUUCUCUGAAGAUUUUAGACCUUUCAAACAAUAGUAUUUUUGGAACUUUACCAUCUUGUUUUAGUCCAGCAUCUAUCGAACAAGUUCAUUUGUCGAAAAACAAGAUAGAAGGACGGUUGGAAAGUAUAAUCCAUGACAGCCCCAAUUUGGUGACAUUAGAUCUCAGUUAUAACCGCUUACACGGAAGUAUUCCAAAUCGGAUUGACAGACUACCUCUGUUAAGCUACCUUCUUUUAGCUAAUAAUUAUAUUGAAGGCAAAAUACCAGUUCAAUUAUGCCAGUUGAAGGAAGUGCGGUUGAUUGAUCUUUCUCAUAAUAAUCUAUCUGGUCAUAUUCCUCCUUGCUUGGUUAACACUUCACUCAGUGAAGGUCAUCAUGAGGCAAUAGCUCCAACUUCUAGUUCGCGGGAUCAAGCGUCUGCCUCUGUACUUCCAUCUGAGGCUCCAAAUGGAUCUCCGAUGGGAAAGGAAGAAACUGUACAGUUCACAACAAAGAAUAUGUCCUACUAUUAUCAAGGAAGAAUUUUGACGAGUAUGUCUGGGAUUGAUCUUUCUUGUAACAAACUGAUAGGUGAGAUUCCUCCUCAAAUUGGAUAUCUUACAAGGAUUCAUGCGCUAAAUCUAUCUCAUAACAAUUUGACGGGCACAAUCCCGACAACAUUUUCAAACCUGAAGCAAAUCGAAAGCUUGGACCUCUCCUACAACCUAUUGCAUGGGAAAAUCCCUUCUCAGCUCACUGUGCUAACUACAUUGGCGGCCUUCAGAGUAGCAUACAAUAACUUAUCAGGCAAAAUUCCGGAUAGAGUUGCACAAUUUUCAACUUUCGAGGAAGAUAGCUAUGAGGGGAAUCCUUUUCUUUGUGGAUGGCCACUGUCUAAAAGUUGCGAUGAUAAUGGAUUAACAACAGUGACAACAGAAGCUUACACUGAAAAUGAAGAAGUUGAUAGUUUAAUUGACAUGGACAGUUUCCUGAUCACUUUUACAGUAUCUUAUGGAAUUGUGAUAUUAGGAAUUAUUGGAGUUUUGUACGUAAACCCCUAUUGGCGGCGAAGUUGGUUUUACCUUGUUGAAGUAUGUAUGACCUCUUGCUACUAUUUUGCAGCAGACAAUCUUGUUCCUAGAAAAUUCUAUGGUGGAUGGAUGUAAUUUCAUUACAUUACAACUUAUAUGUAAUUUUCAAAGAAUUUUCUUUUGCAUGCAUGGAAUAGCAACUCAAUAAAAGUAUUUGAUGCAAAUUGUCCAAGAACAACUUAGUAAUUUCAUUGCUACUAUUCGGUUGUAUGUAUACAGUUAAUGAAAUUUUUAACCAUUCGCAGAAUACCCUUAGGAAUUUCUUUAGAUGGCGGCAAAAAACUAAGAGAUUCGGGGCUCUACACGGUCUGAAUGAAGAUUAACUUAAUGCCCUCAGGAUUAUGUGUAAGUUCUCUUUUAAAUUUAAGGGGUUGAGAUUUCAGGUCCGGAUGAAAGUUGAAUGCAGGUGACGAGACUUCACUGGGACAAACUUAAAAUAAAAAAUUAUAGUCCACAGUAAGAGCAAUGGGUAGCUUAACUUAUGGAAGAUAACUAGAACUUGGAAUAACUUAAAUUAGCUAUAAAAUUAAGACCAUUAUACAACUAAAAAGAAAGAAAAAUUGUUUGCUACUACAUAUCAAAACUAGUAAUAGCAAUGAAAGAUGGCAGACUUCUUACUUAAACAGAUGAGAGGCUACAAAUAAAAAAUUUGUGCAAAUAAAUAUAUGAUAAAGAGCAUAAUACUUUCUUGGGGGCUAAAAAUAAUAUACAACUUGUGAAAUAUAAAUUGAGCUACCGUUACCUUUUAGAUGUGGCAACUUUCGACUUUUGAGGCACUUUGGAAUAUGCAUUCAGAAUCCUGCAUUUGGAAGCCAAAUAAAUAAUGUUAAUAACAAUUUUACAAUAGAAAAAUUAAAAAUUGAUAAAUGGCAGUUGUAAUUUAUGUAUGUGUAAAGAUAGCAUCACAUCCAGGGUCCUCCCAUAAACAUGCUUGUAACAAGAAUUAGUUUGCCUCAACUGCUAGCAACUAUACAAUAGUAAAAAUCACUCUUAUGAACUCAACAAUACUAGGCACCAAUAAGAGUAUGAUACAGCCAUUCUAAAUGGAAGAGAAUACAACUGUUUUACAACUAUGUUGCAUCAGGAGAUAUGUUAGGAGUUUUAAUCCAGAUACCUUCCAACCCAAUUAGGAAAACUCGAGUCAGAAACCAGGAGCUGCAACCGAACCUUACAAUCUUGAAGGAAGAAGGAGACUUGGGGCAUUUUUCUAGAUAGGUGACUUACUAGAUCUACUGCCAAGAAAAUAUCUAUUGCUUUGAACCUCCAUUGAAAUUUCUUUUCCCUUUUUCUUAUUUUGACUUGGAACUUUCCAGCAUCAUCUAUUUGAUCUUUUUUAAAGCUAAAAUAGCAAUCUACGGGUUGUCAACAUCUUAUCCCCCCCCCCCCCCCCCGAGGGGCCCCCAAAAAAAAAAACAUCAAUGAGUUGUCAAUAAAUAGCGCCUACUCAACUUAUGUUCUCCAAUGGAUGACAAUGUGCAAAUCGACCUAGCAGCCACAUUUUUCCCCCCUUUCAACCACCAUUAGGCAACUUUUCUAACCUUUCUUCAUUGCCCACGUCUACAGAACUAUCAUAUAAAGACUACAAGAUAGACGCACGGUAUCUAAAUAAUUGUACCAACCCCCUCUCCUGAUUGUCAUAAAACGGCCAAUAUUUAACGCUCGACAACAAAAUUGCAAAUACUCUAGCCUCUAUAUUAUUGGCAUAUAAAUAUUUUCGGUUAGGUACAUUAUAUUCUUCGUUCUAAAACCUCAAUUAUUAGCUAGUACUGUGAUAAAAUGAUUCAUCACUGAAAUUAAAACUAGUUCACGUACAAAUAAUCAAAACUGAAAUAGAAGCAACGAUAAACCAACCUGUAUUACGUCGAUUCAUCACAACAAACUGAAAUCGAGGCUGUGUGUUCCUGAAAAUUGAAAAAAAUAAUAAUUUCACCAACUUCAUAUGUAAUACAAUCUCCAAAACACUGAAUAUCAAAUGAAAAAAUGGAAAGCAUAAGAUAGAAAAGAAUCUAAUUUUAUUGACCUUUUGACGACGACGAGAGAGCCUUCAACAUCCUUACGACUCCAUUGGCUGAGGUCGAUGUUGAACUCGUAGAAGGUGACAUGAGCGGCCGUGAUGAGGAUCUCCUCAAUGAAUGGAUCGAUUCGCUGAAGAACUGUCAGGUUCAGGAGUUUUGUGCUCUGCUGGUCCAGAUUAAGCAUCAAUUUUCCGUUAUGCGACAUUUUUCAUAGUCGUUUUGGGCUCUGCCCCGAGCACAAGCCCCAGGGUUUUUCUGUGAGCUCUCUCUUUUGUAAAUAAAGUGUUUGAUGAGAUAGCCGAGAGAGAGUGAAAGUGUUGAACAGCCAAACACGGUCUCGAGAUUGAUCUUCCUUUAACUUCUUUUAAACAUUUGGGAAAUAGCAUUUAUUUCUUUUAGUUUCUCUACUUUUUUUUUCCUUUAUGUCAUUUAGACCCCAAAAUUAGAUUUAUUAUAAUCCUAUUUUACCCAUACACUAUUAACCCCUUUUAUUUUUAAAAUUUGUCAAUAUUAAUGUGUUAGAAUAAUGUUAAAAAUCUCAAUUAUUAUCUCAAUGUUUCAAUCAUAACUAAUGUGAUGACUCAUUGGUAACUGCAACAUUAACUUAAUUAUUAAUGUAACACAAUAAAAGUUUGCCACUUCGGCAUUGGUCGGAGUGGUGGGAUGCUUGUGAGGGCAGCGGUUCAAGCCCCCACAAAAGCAUUUGUGGGGGCUAACGUUGUGGGGGCUAACGUGCUUAUUUGUUUAAUAUUUCAAAAAUUUCCUCUCCCUCGUGCAAUACGAGUGGAGUAUGGACAUCCCUCUUCUGUAAGGGAUUAUUUGUCUGGGCAUGUACUUCACAGAAUUCAAUGUAAUAAUAUAAGUCCCAAUCAUGUAUUUCUGAUUGUAAAUAUCAGUGUAAUAUAUCUGCUGUUGAUGCGAGAUUCUGGUUCUCCUCGUUCUACGACCAGGAUCUCUGCUCGAUCAACUUUACCACGACCAGGAGGUCUCCUAGUAAUGCUUCUUCUCCAGAUGUCCCUGCACACACAGACAAGUCAGAGUACGCCGGUUGUUCUCCCGGCGCAAACCCUCCGACGCUCAAGUCAGAUAUGAAGGUUCGGGGAACGCUUGCCACAGGUCUUAUGGCUUUUUCGUGGUUUUCUCUUUUAUCUUAAAAAUGCUAACCCUUUUACCUUCGUUGGCUACCUUUUUAUAGGCUUCUCCGAAUCCCCGUUUUCCGCUUUUUGCCAGACGGUAUGGGACUCUGACUGCUGCGUCAUGGGCGAAGGUGGGAUCUUGCGUGUUACGCCACGGUUCUGGGGAAAGCGUGGCUGUCGUGCCUAGAUUCUCGGGCUGGAGAGCAUGUCUUGCCAACUGCCGUCGACCGGGUCUCCUCGCUUCUCGACCUCUAGCCGGAAUGAUCUUAUGCCUCUUACAGGAAAUUGACCUCGCGGAUGACGUGCUCGUGGACGAGCAGGAUAUUUCUGCUCCUGUUCCCCCGCGCAUCAGGCUUUUACGGAACACACCGGCUCGAGGAACUCUGCCCCCAGAUAUCUGCUCACCAUGCCUGGUCUCGUCGACGUAUUUCUCCUAAACACCGGUCCCCCAGUUUCUGGUGUUGGGUAAUGUAGUGGACCAGCAGUAGAAACUCGAUAGUACUCGCUCACGUGGGACUGGAAAAGGCUGCCAAGAGUCGUGUCGCAUUUAAUUGCGGACGGGGUGACGUGGCGAAAAUCCCCCCCUCCAUUUGAAUUUCAAACCGACGGUUAUGAGGCCCUCGGGAUUCGGCGCUGUUAAAUGCUGGCAACCCAAGAGUCCGUCCCCAUUAGAAAAACCAAAUCCUCUCGAACGGCAUAUUCAUCAUCCACUACGUCUCCGUCUCUGUCUCUCCGGCAAAGAAGUUCCGGCAUAAAAGUCCUCCAUCUCUGAUUUUCACCGACUGAACCAUUACUUCAGGUAUUUCUUCUAUCUCCUUGGCCUCGGAUAGUUGUAGAUAAUUUCUCUUUUCUUCUGUUUGGGUAGUAGUUGGUGGUGUUGUGGUUAGAGCUUAGGGAAUGUCGAAAGGCAAAGAGAAGGUCAUUGAGGUUGACGACGACGAGUUGGACUUCCUGCCUAGUCUGCUCACCGACCCUGCUUUUGACCCCGGGAUUCCCUUAGAGCCCACUAGGUCUAGUGUCGGGACUAGUGCUAGGAGGAUGUCUCCCCAAACAACCUCUACGAGCGGAAGUAGUGGUGAGGAGAGAUCUUCUGACUCUGAGGAUACGUUGAGUGAGAAUGGCGAAGGUGAUUCUGGUGAGGUGUCUCCAUCUAGAACAUCACGACCAGGAGAACGGGGUACAGUAGGAGGCAGAGCCUUGUCGCGCGAUUAUGCCAUUGAUUACAUGACGUGCACGACCUCGUUUGACGAGCUCAAGGACCUCCGGCUUAGGUAUAGCAUUCCUGGUGAGAUACCUCUCAAGGUCCCAGGAAAGAAGGAUGCUCCCAGCCGGCCUCCUAGGGGAUACGUUACCCUGUUUUUAGAGAGCUUUAAGUACGGGCUGAGGUGUCCCUUGCAACCCUACUUUGCCCGGAUACUUAACGGGCUAAACCUAUCUCCUGGUCAGCUGAAUCCCAAUGGGUGGAGAGUGCUCUCUGGUCUGUUCAUAUUGUGGGACAGAUGUUGCCAGAGCGAGCCCACGGUUGAUGAGGUGAGACACCUGUACCAGCUAAAGAGCAGCCCCAAAGAUGCCGGCUGGUACUACUUCCAAUCUAGCACCAAGAGCAGGAAACCUAUAACCGACCUCCCCACUGGUGGUGGUGGGAAUUGGAAGAGAAAGUUCUUUUUUGCUGGGGGUCCUUGGGGUCAGGUUGCACAAAUGAACGGGAAGGAUUAUCGGGUCCCACCCCGUUUCACGGUCCCAGGUUGCCUGCUUGCUUUUAGAUGUCUUGUAUCCAUAAGUGUUCUUGCUUUAUUGGCUUGUCUCUAACCAAGUGUCUGUUUGUGUUGUAGUUUCUUGGGGUGUUCACUUCCCGCUCCCACCCGACCAGCUCAAACGGGUCGAGGAUGUGCUCGCCAAUUCCUGCUCGAGCCGGGAACUGUUAACUACGUACAACUUGCUCGAGUCUCGCUUGAUACUUCCUGGCCAUAGGAUGGAGGACGCUGUGAUUGGGGCUCUGACCCGAAAACGUUCUCGACCCCCAACCACGAAGAGGGACCAGAGUAAGGAUGCCCCUGUGGCAAAGCGGGCCAACAUCGUGCAGCAGGUCCCACCCUUGAAGAUUUUACCUCCUGCUCCCGUAAAAAUUGGGGAAGCUGGUGGAGCUGCCACAGAUCCUGCUUCCUCUCCUCCUCCUGUCGGGCCCCGAUCUCACUUACCUGACAGCCGAGCAGAACAUCUGGUCCUCUACUUCAAUGAGUUAACUAAACUCGUGAGCAGGAAGGAUCUGGAGGACUUUGACGGCCGCACCUUGGGUGAGUUGGUGGGGGCCAUGCAGCAUAGCGCUUUCCACCUCAGCUGCAUGACCACCUAUUACAAGGCUAAGGUUGGCCGCUAUGACCGGAAGAUGAAGGAGGAUAUUCAAUCGGCGACGACCAGAGCUGACGUUGCCGAGAAGAAAGCAGGGGAGCUGAAUCUCGAGAAUCUGAAGCUGAUGGAGCAAGAAUCACUUGCUCAAGCAAAAGCCAUCGCCCUCGAGGAGGAGCUUAUCAAGGUCAGGGAGGAUCUGCAAAGGCAGAAGACAAUGUAUGAGGCUCAGCUCGAAUCUCUUCGCGACUCCCACCGAGCUCAGGCCGAGAACUUGGAGAGGGAGGCCGACAACCAGUACGACCAGGGACUUCGGUAUUCCUAUCGUUGCAUCAUGGCCGUCCUCGGGAAGCAACACCCUGAUCUGAAGAUGGGUGACCUUGCGGCUGGUGUUGCUCAACAUAUGGACGAGGAGGCGGCCAAGGAGGAUGCCAAAGGGGUAGAGCCGAUCGUGAUAGAGGAGGAAAACUCUCCUCCUCAUGUAGUCCCUGCUGAUGUUGGCGAGGCGAGCACCCACCCCAAUGCCUCUAGUGAUACCCCUCCUGCACCUGAGGAGGUCCAGCCAACCGAUGCCGCUGGGCUCACUGAUCCACCAUCUUCUUGAUAUAUUUCUUGUAUUGUAAUGACAAUGUUUAUGAAGAUUAUUCCCUCUGUUAAUUAUUAACAAAUUAAUAAAAAUGUUUUUGAUCACCUUCUUGUGUCGUAAUUACGAAUUAAUUUUCGUUUGAGAAUCUGCUUGUCUUUGUCUAAACGAGCAGGUUCCGGCUUGGCUCAUGGUUUUGCCACAUGCCUUUGAAGAUUUUUCAAUGCUUGGGAUUCGGUUUGCCUUCGCGCAGUUGAGCAGAUCCUGGCACGCUUGGCUUCUGUCUCGCCAUAAGAUAGGCUUUGAGACUUGACGAGCCUUUGCAUGCCUUGGAUUCUUCAAAGCUCAGGAUUCUGCUGCCUUCUCGUGGCCGAGCAGAUCCUGGCAUGCUUGGCUUCUGUCUCGCCAUAAGACAGGCUUUGAGACUUGACGAGCCUUUGCAUGCCUUGGAUUCUUCAAGGGUUGGGAUUCUGCUGCCUUCUCGUGGCCGAGCAGAUCCUGGCAUGCUUGGCUUCGGUCUCGCCAUAAGACAGGCUUUGAGACUUGACGAGCCUUUGCAUGCCUUGGAUUCUUCAAGGGUUGGGAUUCUGCUGCCUUCUCGUGGCCGAGCAGAUCCUGGCACGCUUGGCUUCUGUCUCGCCAUAAGACAGGCUUUGAGACUUGAUGAGUCUUUGCAUGCCUUGGAUUCUUCAAGGGUUGGGAUUCUGCUGCCUUCUCGUGGCCGAGCAGAUCCUGGCAUGCUUGGCUUCUGUCUCGCCAUAAGACAUGCUUUGAGACUUGACGAGCCUUUGCAUGCCUUGGAUAAUUUCUUGGUUUCAAGCGUAAAAUUGCUUCAUUAAUGGCAGGAUUCGACUUACAUAAAAUUGUUUGGGACAUAAAGCGUAAAAGAUAAACGAUAAUGAGCAUGAGCAGAAAUAGCUCUCAAAUGUGAACAAAUCUUACUGGAAGUAUUUUCGGAGGUGUGCUGCGUUCCAUGGGCGUUUCACCUCGUGGCCGUCCGCGCGAACCAGCCUGUAAGCUCCGGGUCCCGCUAUCUGCUUGACUCUAUAUGGCCCUUCCCAAUUCGGUCCCAGCACUCCUUGAGUCGAAUCUUUGGUGCUCUGAUUCACUCUUCUCAGUACCCAGUCUCCGACCCUGAAUUGCCGUAUGUUCACCUUCUGGUUAUAAUACCGAGCAACCCUCUGUUGGUAAGUGACUGAUCGCUCGGCUGCUUGCUCCCUCCUUUCCGUCAGCAGAUCAAGAUUCAAACAUAUCUGCUCGUCGUUCUCCUGCUCAUUGAAAUGAUCUGUCCGGUGUGUGGUCGUUCCUAUCUCAGCCGGCACGACCGCUUCGUGUCCGAAAGCCAAAGCGAACGGUGUCUCCCCCGUUGCGGUUUUGUGGGUUGUUCUGUAUGCCCAUAGCACACCUGACAGCUCGUCAACCCACGCACCCUUUUUUGCACCAAGCCUGGUUUUCAAAAGCCUCUUGAUGGUCUUGUUGGCUGCUUCUACUUGUCCAUUCGAUUGAGGGUGAGCAGGCGAGCAAUACUUCAGCUCUAUCCCGAGGUUCUGGCAGAAAUCCCUGAAGCUGUGAUUAUCGAACUGCCUGCCAUUAUCCGUUACCAAGGCAUAAGGGAUCCCGUAUCGACAGACCAGGUUUCUCCACACGAAGUCUGUUGUUUUCUUCUCCGUGAUCCUGCUAAGGGCUUCCACCUCUAUCCACUUCGUGAAGUAAUCUAUAGCAACUAUUGCAUGUGUUGCUGCUCCUCGUCCUUUUGGCAAUGGGCCGAUCAGAUCAAUUCCCCAUUGAGCAAACGGCCAAGGGGAGGCCAUAGAGGUGAGCUUCUCUGGUGAUUGGUUGGAGAAAUUUACAAAACUCUGGCAGCUUGCACAACCCCUGGUCUUCUUUUGCGCAUCCUGGUGCAUUGUCGGCCAGAAAUAUCCCUGCCUUAGGACCUUGUGGGCCAGGGACCUCCCGCCAGAAUGAUUUCCGCAAAUUCCUUCAUGUACUUCUCUCAGCACGUAAUCCGCGUCGUCGUCAUCCAAACACCGAAGGAACGGUAAUGUGUAUCCUCGCCGAUACAGUACCCCAUCGAUCAUCGUGUAUCUCGAGGCCUGAGCUCUAAUCUUCCGAGCUCGCAGCUUAUCUGGUGGUAAUACCCCGUCUCUAAGGUAUGAAACUAUCGGGUCCCUCCACGAGCAUUUUUGUUCUAUCCGCAACACCCCCAAAUUCUGCUCGAUACUUGGGCUGGACUUCACUUCUAGAGGGACGGACUUUGGCAUUUUUGGGUCGGCUACUGCUGCCAUCCUAGCCAAAAUGUCUGCUCGACUAUUCUGCUCCCUGGGGAUUUGUAUCACCUCCACUGCUUCGAACUUCCCCAUCAUCUGCCUGACUAUCUUCAGGUACUGUUCCAUCUUCUCCUCUCUUGGUUGGAAUCUUUCACUGACAUGAUUCGCAACCAGCUGGGAAUCAGUUCUGAUCUUAACUCUGUCUGCUUUCACGGCCCUAGCCAAUUCCAGGCCUGCUAUCAAGGCUUCGUACUCUGCCUGGUUAUUUGUGACUGCAAAUUCCAACUUUACAGCAUAAGAGAUCUCCUCCCCCUCUGGGCCUUCCAGGACAAUCCCUGCUCCUGAACCCCGCUCCCCUGAUGACCCAUCUACAGACAUCUGCCAUACUUGAGUUUCGUCAUUGCCUAUAACUGCAUCUUGUUGACCUAAGCAUGUUUCGGGCUCUGUGAAUUCAGCUACGAAAUCGGCCAUUGCCUGGGCCUUUAUCGCUGCGCGGGGUUUAUAGUCUAUGUCGAACUCGCUCAGCUCUACAGCCCACUUGACGAGCCGCCCAGAGGCAUCUGGCUUGUGCAGAGUCUGACGCAAUGGCUGGUCUGUUAUUACCGAGAUCGGGAAGGCUUGAAAAUAUGGCCUCAACUUCCGAGCAGCAACCACAAGGGCAAGUGCCCAUUUCUCCAACGGUGGGUACCUGGUCUCAGCGUCGAGCAGGGCCUUGCUGGUGUAGUAUAUCGGAUACUGAACUCCUUCUUCCUCUCUCACCAGAACAGAACUGGCGGCCCGAUCCGAUACCGCCAAAUACAGAUACAACUUGUCCCCAUUCCUCGGUGUGGACAGCAGCGGAGCUUGCUGCAAGUAUUGCUUCAAGUUCCGGAAGGCUUCCUCGCAUUCUGGGGUCCAUUCUGUUUUCUUUCCCCUCCUUAUCACUUGAAAGAAUGGCUGACACUUAUCUGUAGCUUUGGAUAUGAAUCUGCUCAACGCCGCCAACCUCCCCGUGAGGCCCUGCGUCUCCUUCAGGUUACGAGGAGACGUCAUUUGCACAAUCGCCUGGAUUUUCUCGGGAUUUGCUUCAAUCCCCCUAUGGCUCACCAUGAAUCCCAGGAAUUUCCCUGACUCGACCCCAAAAGCACACUUCUCCGGAUUGAGCUUCAUCUUAUACUUCCUCAAAAGCUCGAAUGUCUCCUCGAGGUGUCUGACAUGUUCCUUCGGGAUCUUGGACUUGGUGAUCAUGUCAUCCACGUACACCUCCAUGGUUUUCCCGAUCAACGGCUUAAAGACUUUGUUCACCAGCCUUUGAUAGGUGGCCCCAGCAUUCUUGAGACCGAAUGGCAUCACCCUGUAACAGAACAAACCUUGGUUAGUGAUGAAAGCCGUGCUCUCCUCAUCCUGCUCGUACAUGGGGAUCUGGUUGUAUCCCGAGAAUGCGUCCAUGAAGCUAAGCAGACCAUGUCCAGCUGUUGAAUCUACUAGCUGAUCGAUCCUUGGUAAAGGGAAGCUGUCUUUUGGGCACGCCUUGUUGAGGUCUGUGAAAUCCACACACAUCCUCCACUUGCCGUUUGCCUUCUUUACCAACACCACAUUUGAUAUCCACUCUGGGUAACUGACUUCCCGAAUGAACCCUGCUCUCAGGAGCUUCUCCACCUCGUCAUUUACAGCCUCAUACCUCUCCUGGUUGAAGCACCUCCUCUUCUGCCUUACUGCCCGAGCACCUUUCUUUAUUGCCAGCUUAUGACACGCUACCUCAGGGUCAAUCCCUGGCAUGUCUUCAUGUGUCCAGGCAAACACAUCAGCAUGAGCCUGUAAGCAUUUCACCAACUCCUGCUUUUGCUCUCCCUUCAGUCUCGACCCGAUUCUGAUCGUCUUUCCCGGGUUCUCUGGUCCCAUGCUUACCGUUUCCAGAUCCUCUACAGGUUCUUGUCUGCCAGUCUUGUUUUCUACUCGGGUAUCGAAGGAUGUUAUCUGCAUUGCCUCCCUUGCUGCCGAGGAGUAGCAGCUUCUUGCGAUCCUCUGGUCUCCUCGUACCACUCCUACUACCCCAUUCACCCGGUACUUCAGAGCCAGAUAAUGGUUGGACAAUACCGCUUUGCUCAUCCUUAAAAACGGCCGACCUAGGAUCAUCUGGUAAGGACCUUCCUCAUCCACUACGACAAAGUCCAGUAUCAUUGUUCUUUCUGUUAGGGGGCUCCCAAUUGUGAUAGGUAGUUCGACCACGCCCAGGGGAACCAGCUUCCCUCCUCCGAACCCCUUCAAGGAGGUGUUGGUGUAUUCCAACUUCCGGUCGGCUAUUCCCAUCUCUUCCAGGGUUGACUUAAAUAACACAUCAACUGAGCUCCCUGUAUCAACCAGUAUCCGGUCAAACUUCUUGCUAGCGACCGUAGCCUUGAUGACUAAGGCAUCCUCGUGGGGGUAUAGGAUCCCUUCCUCAUCCUCAUCCGUCCACAUGAUUGGCACUUGCCUGACCCUUGCCCGUUUGGCUGCUGGGGUGUUGAGGAGUACCUCUUUACUGGUCAUGGCGUACCUAGCAUAAUUUUUUCUCGAUCUGUUUGAAUCUCCGGCCAACGUUGGGCCCCCCGCUAUCACCCUUACUGCGGGCUGCUCGUGCCUCAAGAUUCUAUCACUCUGCUCCCCUUCAUCUGUUGUGGCCACCAUCGGGAAAGUCCCAUCCAUAAACUCGUCCAGGUACCGAUUUCUCACCAAAUCUUCGACUUGGGUCUUGAGAUCUCUACACUCUGCUGUGGUAUGGCCAUGGGUGCCAUGGAACUUACAAUAACGUCCUCUAUCCCUCCUGUUGGGUAGCUUUGUUAUUGAUGUAGGGAGGUGCAGCAGCCCUCGAUCCUUUAUAGCCUCGUACACCUCAUCCAGGGACAUCUUCAAGGGAGUGUACCGCCCAUAGUCCUGGUGCUGGUCGAUCCGAUGUACUGCUCUUUCUCUGUUUGUCCCGCUCUGAGUUGGGGGCGGUAGAAGUACUUCUGGUCUGCUCGUCCUGCUACCGUGGGAAUGUUGAUGAAGACCACCAGAUGCCGGAUCAUUUCUUGUCCAAGGUUCCCUAGCUGGGGAACGAGGAGGUUGCGCCCUGCUGCGCUGAUACUGUGGUGGCCUCUGAUGAGGCUGGUAAGCAGUGACCCUGCCUCCUGCUCCACUACCGGAGGCCUGGUGGUCCCUCCUCCUGAUCGGCCCGUUCCCUGGUAAUGCUUUCAUCUCUCUCCUCCCCAACCCUUCUAUCUGGUCUGUCUUGAUCCGUGCAGCCUUCUCCUCUUCAAUCUCGAUGUCUCUUUUAGCCUGUUCGUAUGCGGCCGCAUACGUUUGAAUAGCUGGGCUUCUCAAAUUGUACCACAGCCUUCCUAUCUUCACCCCUUCUUUCAAUCCCCUUAACGCCUGAGGGUGGUUGAAGGCUCCCAAGUCGAGGACAGCCCGAUGAAACCUCUUGAUGAAUUCCGGAAGGGUUUCUUGCUCCCCCUGUUUCAUGCUUUUUAGCUCCAUCAUGUCAUCUUCCGGUGACAUUGCCCUACUGAACUGCUCCGCGAAUUCCUGGCACAUCUGCUCGAAGGUUUUAAUGCUGCCCCGAGGAAGUUUCAUGUACCAUUCUCGUGCACGUCCCUCAAGGGAUAGUGGGAACACCCUGCACCUUUGGGAUUGAGAUAAUCCUUGUACCCCAGUUAUGUCGUUGAAGCGCUCUAUGUGCAUCAGCGGGUCAGUUCUUCCCGUGUAUCUGAAGUCGGGGAGGCGGAAAUCUCUCGGAAUAACUGCCCUCAUGAUCUCUGCUGCGAGCGGUGAUUCUCCGUCCAGCAUUAUCCUCCAACCAGGGGCUCUGUUCCUCCCUUGCAUAUCGUCAAUUAUCUGCGCUAGUCUGCGCACUUCCUCCUCCAGCUGCCCUGCACGACCAGGGUCACGUGCUGCAACUUGAUCCCGCUCUUGCUCUACAUCUUGCAAGUGUUGCCUCAACUCGGUUUCCUCUGCAUUCACCACCCCGUCGUCCGCGUCACAAGUCUGUCUUGCCGGGGACCGCUCUCUUUCUCUAUGAAAUUCUCCCCGUAGAGGUGCGUUACCUCUCUCACCACCAAAUCUCCCUGUGGUUUGACUUCUCCCCGCACUAUCGGGACCUGGUGCCACUCCACCGCCUCUCACCCUUCCCUCUUGAGUUACCCUUCGCUCGCUCCGUAGCUCAUGCAGGAUGGUUGUCAAGGUCUCCAUCUGCUUUUCCAUCCGUUCCAUCCGGUCGAACAUGACUUUUCCCGUGCUUCACUGACUAUCUCCCUCAGCGUCACGAAAUCGUUAAGCCUCAUAUCACCCCCUUGUGCACUACUUCCUCCUGUCUCCAUUGCUUUUUGCUUACUCCACCCCUCUUCUUGCUAUCAACAGAAGCUUUUUGCUCUGGGUCCCCACAGACGGCGCCAAAAUGUUGAUGCGAGAUUCCGGUUCUCCUCGUUCUACGACCAGGAUCUCUGCUCGAUCAACUUUACCACGACCAGGAGGUCUCCUAGUAAUGCUUCUUCUCCAGAUGUCCCUGCACACACAGACAAGUCAGAGUACGCCGGUUGUUCUCCCGGCGUAAACCCUCCGACGCUCAAGUCAGAUAUGAAGGUUCGGGGAACGCUUGCCACAGGUCUUAUGGCUUUUUCGUGGUUUUCUCUUUUAUCUUAAAAAUGCUAACCCUUUUACCUUCGUUGGCUACCUUUUUAUAGGCUUCUCCGAAUCCCCGUUUUCCGCUUUUUGCCAGACGGUAUGGGACUCUGACUGCUGCGUCAUGGGCGAAGGUGGGAUCUUGCGUGUUACGCCACGGUUCUGGGGAAAGCGUGGCUGUCGUGCCUAGAUUCUCGGGCUGGAGAGCAUGUCUUGCCAACUGCCGUCGACCGGGUCUCCUCGCUUCUCGACCUCUAGCCGGAAUGAUCUUAUGCCUCUUACAGGAAAUUGACCUCGCGGAUGACGUGCUCGUGGACGAGCAUGAUAUUUCUGCUCCUGUUCCCCCGCGCAUCAGGCUUUUACGGAACACACCGGCUCGAGGAACUCUGCCCCCAGAUAUCUGCUCACCAUGCCUGGUCUCGUCGACGUAUUUCUCCUAAACAUCUGCUAUAAUAGCAGUUGUAAAUAUAUGUGUAAUGCAGUAAUAUGAUGAUUAAUCAGUAUUCAAAACACAAUAAAAGUUUCGUACAGAUUUUGAUAUUGAGAGUAACACAAUAAAAGUUUCAUACAGAUUUUGCAAACGAAAAGCACAUAAUACACUUAACUAGGAGGAAAAAUUAAGGUGUAUUUAUUACAAAUUGCUAACAAUAUACAAUUGUAAAAAUCACUCUUAUGAACUCACAAAUACUAGGCAGCAAUAAGAGUAUGAUACAACCAUUCUAAAUGAAAGAGAAUACAACUGUUUUACAACUAUGUCACAUCAAGAGAUAUGUUAGCAGGAUUAAUCCAGAUACCUUCGAACCCAAUUAACGAACUCGAGUCAGAAACCAGGGGCCCCUAACUAAACCUUACAAUCUUGAAGGAAGAAGGAGACUCGUGGUCCAGAUAGGUGACUUACUAGAUCUCCUGCAAAAGAGAAUAUCUAUUGCUUUGAACCUCCAUUGAAAUUUUUUUUUCCCUUUUUCUUGUUUUGACUUGGAACUUUCCAACAUCAUCUAUUUGAUCUUUUUUUAAGGUAAAAUAGCAAUCUAUAGGUUGCCAACAUGUUAUUCUGCCAAACCCCACCCCACCCCCCCGGGGGACAACAAAUCGACCUAGCACACACCUUUCUUCAUUGCCCACACCUACAGAACUAUAAUAAAAAGACUACGUUACUAUUGGGGUAGAGAAAAUAUACAGACUGUAUUAUUAUUACAUCGCAUUUUACUAAUUAACUAGUGCAAGACUUCUUUAGUGUCAAAUCAAGAACUAAUUAGAAAAGACAACUCAUGAUAAUACAGACCUUAAUAAGCAAUUGCUAACAACAUCCCAUAUACUCCUAUUUUAGCCUUCAUUAUCCUGGUAAAAACACAAAUAAGUCUUGCAAACGAACAUUUAUAAGUAAAUUCAACAUUAAUUAAGAUUAGGUAUCUACUGCACCUAAUAGCAUGGUCAACCAUCUAGUUCCUGUAGCCUUCCAUGUACCUAUGUUAGUUACAUUUUACAUAUUAAGCCACGAAAACGAAGAAUCACAGCCUGGUAAAGAAAGACAUUAAUUAAUAGUUUUUGUUUAAAAAGUUCUCCUUUAGAUCUUUCCUAUUCAAUGAAUCAAUGUAAUCUAAAGAGAACUCUUCCAUUUCAAACAGUGUUAGAAGGUAUUUGCAAAGCCUAAAGAUAAUAUACAAGGACCAAGAUAUACACAGAUGGUUUCUUUAUGGAAUUAAAGAGCUUUAUAGAUGUUAAAACUGUUUCAAACAAUUUUUCUUGUUUGGUUUAACUAAGGAAAAGCUUGUGGAAGAUUAAAAAUGAUGUUUCCUAUUCUCUGUAGGAAACUUUUAGGAGAUUUUUUGGGCUUUUUUGAAAGGUUGAAUUGUCAAAAAUACCUUGAUGUUAUUGUUUGCUAAAAGAUGUUACGGACAUCUAAACAACCAACAACAUUUUGUUAAAAGCUCUACUAGUGUAGGAUCUACUUAAAGAAGCUAUACCAAACAGACUCUUAGACUGAAUAACUCGAUCUUAAGUUUGUAAAAUUGGGCUCAGAAUCUCCACUAACAACCCCGCUUCGGUGAGAAAGCCCAAGCCUGUUACUUUGUAUAACCUUAUUCUGUAUGUUUGAUUGCAGGAACUGGCCGAUCAUACCGACGAGGUGAGUGUGCAACAUGAGGUGCUUGACGGGAUGUUUACUUUCUAUGAUUCAACUAAAGCUAGCCUCAACAUAUAUCAGGUGCCUGCUUGUUUUUACCUUCUAGAUACUAAUAUUGUUUAGACGUGUAAUCUCUCUCUCCAUUGAACGCUAGACGGCUCGUCUCAAGCCUUCUACGUACUUCAGAGUCCUUCACUAGCUUUUUAUGUAUAAAGUUUUGAUCUUUUUCCUUCAUUUGCUUGAAGCUCAUUACUGCAGAUUUUUUUUACAGGUUGGUAGUGUAACAUUCGACUUGCUGUUGCUUCUAGUCUUGGGAUCGUAUUUAAUUGUGCUUUUCAGCUUUCUUGUCAUAACAACUAGGGUAUCACUCUUUCUCCAUAUCAAGCUUGAAGUUCUAAAUUUCAGUUUUAUCUUGUAUUUGAUGUUUUAUAAUUUCAUUGCAAACAGAUUAGAAUAGAAACUUCAAAAGUUCCAACUGACUAGUCCCGUGUAACUUUUUCAGGGAAGAUUUUCUCUCAUAACAACUACGAACGUGUUAUGGUUUAGCCCAGUGACACAAAGGACAGUUUUCAACAAUUGAUCCUAGGAAGAUGCCCAUAGCUUGUUGUGCCAAAAAUAGAAAAUCUAAGAUGCGAAAAAAUUUUGUUGAGAUUCAUUUUUCAUCCUGAUGUUACCGCUGGCCUUUUUUUUUUUUUUUUUUGGCAGAGAAUAAUGCUUAUGUGAUUUCUGAACUUGGUGAUUGUUGAAAUGAGCUGAAAAUGAGCUGGAAAUGUGUUUGGUUAAUGAGAAAGAGAGCAAGAAAAUGAAAGAAAUCUAUUUCACUUUUUAUUUAUCAGCAUGAUUACAUUCACAAUGAAUCUAAGCUGCUAUUUAUACUUAAAUGACUACACACGAGAAUCUUCUUGCUAGAUACUUCUAGAAACUCUACACGCACACUCACACUGAGCUAGUGGUUACCAAAACCGUUACAACGAUAUUGCCAGCUCAGCAUAACCAACUUAUAACUAACACACUCAGCUGCAGGGGAAACCAUCAAGCUUACUGUGCGUCCUCUGUAAUCAAGCUUCUUUAAGCAUGCUCUGCAGAUCAUACGUCUGAAUUAUCGAAACAAGAUGAAUUAUUUUUUGUUUAUUGCAGCAGGCGAUCAAUGAGCGGAAUUUCUAGCUUGUAUUCAAUUCGCGAACACAGUUUGAGAAGAAUCAGACCAUUAAUUUUCUUUUGAGCCAAUCAACAGAAUGUACAUUUCUUCUAAGAACUUGUAACCGAAACCGCAGUUUUUCAGGUUUGCUCCUUCCUCAUAGCAGUUAAUCAAACGAUAAACAGAGAUAUCCCAUGUCAACAAGAAGGUAAUCAUAAAAGAACAACAGAAUUGUUGCAACAUAUUCAUAUGAAAUGUAAAACAAUUUUGAGAAAAAAUAUUGGGAAGAUAUUUUUUUUUCAUAGAAGUUGCAAUCUUUACGUUAUUUACUAGUUUGACUAGACUAUAUAAGGAAGCUAUAUGAAAUUAGAAAAAUAAGCUAUACUAGGAAAGAAUAAAUAUGUGUACAGAAAAUUAGGCUAUAAUUUUCAAAUUAGAUGCCAGUUAAUUUUAUCAUAAUUAGAUGGUAAGAUUGCAAAUUCUGCAGCCAAAGGUGGUACGGAACUGAAUGAAGGAAAUCAAAUAUGAACAUGUUUUCAAUCUUAAAAUAUUAAGAGUAGCAUAAGUAACUUGUGAAACAGUUAUAAGUUCAAGGGAAUUAGAUGAUGGCAUGGUUGAAUUUUAUAAAUAUUUGAUAUUUUGGACCGAACAGGGCAAACAGAUGGAUCCAGAUAAUCAAGAAAAACAUCAAUUCCAUGCAACCAAAUGAGUCUAGUCAAAGAAAUUAUUCAAAGAAAUCUCUAGGUCAGUAUCCAAAUAUAUGGCUCCGUCCGUUCCACCACCACAACCAAAAAAAUCAGAUCCCCCCAUUUGGAUUCGAUUGAUUAAUUUGAGCAUAUAAAAUCGGGUUUUAAACUUCCCUAAUCAAAAUUUAUAUUCCACAGAAUCAGUUCCUUUAACAUGAUGCAUUACAUAAUAUUUUGUUUGCAAAAUAAAGAAGAAAGAUGACAUAAUAGAAACACGCUAUUGCAUCUUUUGAAAAAGAAAAACGGAAUAGUUUUCCAAAAUUAAUUCCGAGAAGAAGAUUAACUAAUAAUGAUGUUAGAAAUUUUAAUAUUUGAGUCUUAAUAUUAUGUAUCACUCAUUUAUUAAAUAAUAGAUUUCAUAAUUUGUAAAAUUACUUAACCACUUGAUAAAUGUUAUAUUUGUUGGGACUAAAUUGGAACUUAAAUGUUGGAAUAUCUAGUAUUGCAUUAAAAAAUAAAUAAAAACUUAACAAUUUAUCUUCACUUGACUAAUUGUUUUUACAUCACAACUAACCUUAAUUAUUUUGAAAGUUACAGUAUUAUUAAAUUGUCCUAACUGGUUAUCCAAAGUUGAAGCAUGUUAAAAUAAAAAAAAUUACUAAGAAACAUGUGCUUAAACAGAGGUUAAAGCUAUGAACAAUUAAGAAGAAACUCUUAAUUUGGUCCCAGUUAGUAUAAUAAUCAUCUAUUGAGCGGUAAAAUAUUAAUUUUAAUAGUGAUGAAAUCCAAUAAAUAAUAGAUUACUAACACACAUAAAUUAAAACUUAACUGUCUGAAAUCAUAACAUUACUCUACUCUUCAGUGGAGUUCUCUUAAACAGAUUAUGUGAGAUUGCCUACAUUAAAAAUAUGUUAAGACUGCUUGUUGAAAGCAAUAUUCGCUUUUCCAUUAUAUCCAUAACUUUGAAUUGAUAAAGUUGUAUUCAGCAGCUCUUGAAAAGACUAAUUUAUUUUAACUAGUCAUAGAAAUAAGAGAGAAAAGGGGCUAUUUCUUGACUCAAAGUCAAUUAUAAUUAUCAAAACUUGAGGGGACAUCGCAUGCCUAAAUUCCACGCACCCUAAUACGGUUUGAUUUGCUUUCACGCGUUCAUGAAUUUCCAUGAAAGAGCCUGCCUUUCGUCUCUUUCGGGACAGUGACUACAAUAAUGGAAAAAAUUAUAAUUCUCGUUAGAUUGUAACCAAAUUAUUAUCCCUAAUUUUUUUAAGUUACAUAUAAUAAAAUUCAUGCUUAAGUAUUUAGUAAUUAGAGAGAGAUAGAGAGGAUUGAGGGCCAAUGUUUCGCGAUUUGGGGUCAAUUCAAAGUCAACUAACGUGUAAAACACGUGUAUGCAUAGAAAACGCUUAGAUUAUUUGUGUUCCAAGAAAGAAAGAAGACCCAUCACCUUCUUCGUGACAACAAAUGAAUGAAUGAUGUUGAUAUGACAAAUACAAGCGCUAUUACAGGGAACAGCAUAAGAUCGAGACUUGAUAAAGGGUUUGUUAAAUUACAUGUUAUUUUCUUUUGACUUGAAUGAUGUUGAAGAGAAAAAUCAAAUAACAUUGUAAUCAGGGUGAUGUGUGGAAUAUAGUGAAAUAAAUAAAUAGAGAAGAGAAAUUCGUUGAUCAAUAUUCAAGAACUCAUCCAAAGUGAUCGUCAAAGUCUAGAGGUUCGGUAUGAUUAGCAUUUAUUAUUAUUUUUUUUGGCUUAACAUCAUAUAUAGUCACCUGUCGUGUGAUCUAGAACAGGUUUAGAAAUCCUUUUAUUUUAACUUCCGUAUUCUUAUUAUUUAAUUAGUUAUAGGGUUCUUCAGUAUUUGAGUAUUGAUCACAUGUCUCCUAAUCUAAAAAUAUGUUUUUACGAGUACAAAUAACAAACUAGGAUUUUAACAGCCUUUUAUACUAAACCCUAAAAAUACAUGAAUUUAUCAAAAUAAGUAAAUUAAUUUAAAUUGGUAUGGCAUAAUAAAAGUUUUACCUGCCGAAACAAAUUAAAAAAAUAUUACACUUAAAUCAAAUAUUGACAAAAAUAGAUAACAAUCUAAUGAGAAUCUUAACUAGAUAUUUUUACUUCUAUCCAAUUUAACUGGAACGAGAAUUAAGUCCUUUCAAUAGUUAGGACUCAUAACUCAUACACGCUAGUUUGAGAGUGUGGGGUGUGACAAUGGGCCAAAAGACCAUUGACAAGUACAAAAGAGUGGUCGCAAUUAAUUCAAACCGCUACACACGCUAUUGCGUCUUUUAAAAAAAAAAUGGAAUAGUUUUCCAAAAUUAAUUCAGAGAAGAAGAUUUACUAAUAAUGAUGUUAGAAAUCUUAAUAUUUGAAUCUUAAUAUUAUGUAUCACUCAUUUAUUAAAUAAUAGAUUUCAUAGUUUGUAAAUUUACUUAACCACUUGAUAAGUGUUAUAUUUGUUGGGACUAAAUUGGGACUUAGAUGUUGGAAUAUCAAGUAUUGCAUAAAAAUAAAAAAUAAAAACUUAACAAUUUAUCUUCACAUGACUAAUUGUUUUUACAUCACAACUAACCUUAGUUAUUUUUUAAAGUUAUAGUAUUAUUAAAUUGCCCUAACUGGUUAUCAAAAGAUGAAAGCAUGUUAAAAUAAGAAAUUACUAAGAAACAUGUGCUUAAACAGAGGUUAAGGCUACGAACAAUUAAGAAGAAACAACUUACAAUCAAAGGUUAAGAUUAUGAACAAAUUAAGGAAGGUAUUGAGCAGAUAAAGGGACGAAAUCAUUGUCUGAAUUGCCGGUGACAAGAAUGCUUGUGUUGUGAAAAGAAACCUGAUGGUUUGUAAAUGGGUUGAAUUUUUUAUUCGGUCGCUCCAACUGACUUACUAAUGCCAAAUUUAUUACUUUGCACAGUAGUGUUUAGGAUCCUCAAGAUCAACUCUUAAUUUGGUCCCAAUUAGUGUAGAAAUCAUCUAUUGAGCAAUAGAAUAAGAAUUUUUCUAGUCAUGAAAUUCAAUAUAUAAUAUAUCCUUGACACACAUCGAUUAUAACUUAACUGUUAGAAUUCAUAACAUUACUCUACUCUCAAGGGGAGUUCUCUUAACAUAUUAUGUUAGGUUGCCUACAUUCAAAAUAUGUUAGGCUGCUCUUUGAAAACAAUAUUCCUUUUUCCGUAACUUUGAAUUGAUCCAAUAGCUCUUGAAAAGCACAUAAUAAUCAUUAUAAAUUUAAUCAAAGACUAAGCAGGUCUUCUUUCCAUUUGAUCACUCGCAUUUCAGUUAAGUUUGUCGUUUACUUAAAUUUUUCUUGCUUUCAAUUUCCACUGUUGUUUUUUUUUAUAUAAAAUAAUUUAUUUAAACUAGUCAUAGAAAUAAGAGAGAAAGGGCGCCAUUUCUUGACUCAAAGUGAAUUAUAAUUAUCAAAACUUGAGCGGACAUUGCAUGCCUAAAUUCCACGCACGCUAAAACGGUUUGAUUUGCUUUCACGCGUUCAUGAUUUUCCAUGAAAGAGAGUGCCUCUCGUCUCUUUCCGGACAGUGACUGCAAUUAUGUUAACGUGACGAAUACAAAACGUUAUUACAUACAAGAAUAAGUUUUUGGACCCGAGACUUGAGGGAGGUUCUAUCUAAUUCUAAAGAUUGUAACCAAAUCAUUAUCCCCAAAUUUUUUCAGUUAAAUAAAAUAAAAUUUAUGCUUAAGUAUAAAUAAUUUUUUAAAGUUAAAUAUAAAAUAAAAAAAUUCAUGAACUUCCUAGAAAGAAAGAAGACCCUUCACCUUCUUCGCGACAACAAAUGAUGUUGACAUGACAAAUACAAGCUCUAUUACAGGGAACAGCAUAAGACCGAGACUUGAUAAAUAUUAAAUAUAUAAAAUAAGUGGAGCAAACGAACAGAAUAAUAGAUAUUUUAUAAUAUUCUUCAUAAAAAUCCAUGUUUUGAGCCUGCCUAUAAGCUUAUCUAGUGAAGUCUGGGUAUCCGCGUUGCCCAAGGUUCCGUUUGAAUCCAGGCCGUGUAGAUGUUUAAGACAUCGCAUAUGGACGGAGUGGAAAUAUUUUCAGUUGACUGAAUUAAAUAAAAAUAUAUUACAAUCAUAUUAUAUAUUAGCAGCAAAAAUAAAAAGAAAUGAAGAAAAACGCAUGCAAGACUUAGACAAGUCAAUUAAAAGCUGGGAGUAUCAUCAGUUCAAUUGGUUAUAAAUAGCGUAGAGCCAUCCUCUCGUUGUUGCAGAACUGAAGCAAAGAGACUCAGAAAGAGUGUGUGUAGGUGAUUAUAAUUAAGAAGAUAUAAUGUGUGGUUCAAAAAGAGUGUGGGUGAGUGAGUUAAUUUUCAUAUUAUUAGUAGUAAAAGGGUGGUGGAGUGAGGGAUGUUUGGAGCAAGAGAGGUCUGCUCUCCUACAACUCAGACAUUUCUUCAAUGAUGAUCAACUUCUUCAAAACUGGGUAGACGAUGAGAAUUAUUCAGAUUGUUGUCAGUGGGAAGGGGUUGAGUGCAAUAACACCACUGGCAGAGUGAUUGAAUUAUAUCUAGGAUAUACUCGGAAAUGGGAAUCAGCAGAGUGGCAUAUGAAUGCUUCUCUGUUUACUCCCUUUCAACAAUUAGAGUCUCUUGAUUUAAGUUGGAACAAUAUAGCCGGUUGUGUUGAAAAUGAAGGUCCUUAAUUUACUUUAUUUUAAUUCUUCCUCCUCGUAAUUUCUUACAUCUAUCUGAUCCCUUUUGGCUUUUGUUUAAUUUGUACGUGAUACAAUAAAAUUACUUUUUAUUUUUUGUCAGGUCUAGAUAGGUUAUCAAGGUUGAAGUUUCUUUAUUUAGACUAUAACUGCUUCAACAACAGCAUCGUUUCAUCUCUAGGUGGUCUUUCAUCACUCAGAAACUUAUCAUUGGCUGGUAAUGAAUUGGAUGGAAGUAUUGAUAUUAAAAGUAAGUACGCUUCAACCCUUCUCCCCUGUCCCAUCUUUUGUAGAUCUUAUUUCACUGAGCAGCUGGAAGUAUUGAUACGAGAUCUAGCUAGACUCUUGUGAGUUUAGGCUUCAAGGCUUUGAAUAUUAUAAAAAUAAGUUAAAGAAAUUAUCGAUAUAUGCAAUUUUCAAUGCUUCUCAUAAUCAGACACAAUUCAAUCUAAUUAUUUCGUAUGUCCUGUCUUCAAAAGUAAAGAAUUGUACACUAAUUGGAAAUCGACAUCGUAGCUUUUUAUUUUCUAUAAUGCUCUUUUUUCGUUAACGAGUUUAUAUCCUAAGAGGGAUUGGAUUGAAAAAAAAAAAGUUUUGAUGUUCAAUGUAAGCCAUGAUAACCUGCAUCUUAUUUGUCUGCCGACAUCCAAAUUUGUGCACUGAAUUUAGUAUUUUGGUUAUUGUGAAGGGAUCAGAUAUUGGCUUCCAUAGACCAACUUGUAUUUACUUAAUUAAUUAAUUAACGACAUUUAGUAUUUAACAAAUUAAAAUUUCAUGUUUAAUCGAUUUUAAUUUUUUUAAGAAAAAAGAAAAAGAUAUAACAGCAUGUAAAGCUGAAAUAAAUUUUAAUUCCUUACAAAUUUAAAUUCAUGGUUGUCAGCUAAAUAUACCUGCUUAAAGCCACUCUUUUCGCUGAGAUUUAACCAAAAAAAAAAGGAGAAAAUAAUUUAUUUAAUUAACUCUGUUUUAAGUGUUGGAAUAAAUACAGGACUGGAAUCCUUGAGUAACUUGGAGAUGCUGGACAUGAGGGACAAUGCAAUCGACAAUCUAGUGGUUCCUAAAGGUAUACAAAAUGACACUAACCCAAAAUAAUUUAAUCCGAAAUUGUAUCCCAAAUAGAUUACAGAGGUUUGAGGAAGUUGGAUACCCUUUAUUUGGGGGGGAAGGGAAAUUGCAGUGAUAUAUGGAAGCAAGGUGUUGCAAUCAAUAAAGAAAUUCAUAGGGUCAAUAUUAAAGGACUCUCCUCCAACUCAAACAUUUCUCAAAUAGAUUAUUUAAUCUGAAAUAGUAUCUCAAAUAGAUUAUAGAGGUUUGAGGAAGUUGAAUACCUUUUAUUUGGGGGGGAAGGGAAAUUGCAGUGAUAUAUGGAAGCAAGGUGUUGCAAUCAAUAAAGAAAUUCGUUGGUCAAUAUUCAAGACUCAUCCAAAGUGAUCGUUAAAGUCUAGAGGUCUGCUCUCCUCCAACUCAAACAUUUCUUCAAUGAUGAGAAUUAUUCAGAUUAUGGUCAGUGGGAAGCGGUUGAGUGCAACAACACCACUGGCAGAGUGAUUAAAUUAGAUCUAGGAGCCACUAGGAAUCGGGAAUCAUCAGAGUGGCAUAUGAAUGCUUCUUUGUUUACUCCCUUUCAACAAUUAGAGUCUCUUCAUCUAAUUGGGAACAAUAUAGCCGAUUGUGUUAAAAAUGAAGGUCCUUAAUUUACUCUAUUUUAGUUCUUCCUCGUAAUUUCUUACAUUUAUCUGAUCCCUUUUGGCUUUUGUUUAAUUUGUACGUGAUACAAUAAAAUUAUUUUUUAUUUUUUGGCAGGUCUAGAGAGGCUAUCAAGGUUGACCAACUUGAAGUUUCUUCAUUUAGACUAUAACUGCUUCAACAACAGCAUCUUUUCAUCUCUGGUUGGUCUUUCAUCACUCAAACGCUUAUCAUUGGCUAGUAAUGAAUUGAAUGGAAGUAUUGAUAUUGAAGGUGAGUAAGCUUCAUCCCUUCUCCCGUGUCCCAUCUUUUGUGGAUCUUAUCUCAUUGACGGGUUGGAAGUAUUGAUACGAGAUCUAGCUAGACUCUUGCUAGUUUAGGCUUCAAGGCUUUGAAUAUUAUAAAAAUAGGAUUAAGAAAAUAUCAAUAAAUGCAAAUUUCAAUGCUUCUCGUAAUCAGACACAAUUAAAUCUAAUUAUUUUGUAUGUCCUGUCUUCAAAAGAAAAGAAUUGUACACUAAAUGGAAAUCGACAUUAUUGUUUGCUUUUGAUUAGUGGAUCAAAAAUCGACUAAUUUUGAUUUAACAUAAAAAUAAAAAAGAGAAAAUAAGUUAUUUAAUUAACCCUGUUUUAAGUGUUGGCAUAAAUGCAGGACUGAAUUCCUUGAGUAACUUGGAGGAGCUGGACAUGAGCGACAAUGCAAUCGACAAUCUUGUGGUUCCUAAAGGUAUACAAAAUGUUCAAAUAUUAAUAAUUUGGAGGACAGUUUAAUUGAUUUGAUUAGGGAAUGCCCAAUGACACUUACCCAAAAUAAUUUAAUCUGUAAUUGUAUCCAAAACAGAUUUCAGAGGUUUGAGGAAGUUGAAUACCCUUCGUAUAGGGGGAAGCAGAAUUCGAAUGAUAGAUGGAAGCAAGGUGUUGCAAUCAAUAGGAUCACUACCGUCCCUCAAAACACUUGACCUUUGGUAUACUAAUUUUACGGGAACAGUAGUUAAUCAAGGUAAGUAAAUCUUUUAUGUCGAAAAUAAUUGAAUUAAUAUAUAUAGCUAAAAUUUAUUGUUUCUACUUCUUUCUAAAUAGAGUUGCACAAUUUCACCAACUUGGAAGAAUUGAUAUUGCUCGGGUCUCAUCUCCACGUAAGCCAGCUUCUGCAAAGCAUCGCAUCAUUCACUUCGUUAAAGAAUUUGUCAAUGCCAGUUUGUACCCUUACAGGUGCCGUACAUGGUCAAGGUAAAUUACGGGUAUCUGAAGCUUUUAUGAUAUUAAUUCGAUAAUAAUUCUUUCUUUUCAAGUUAAUUUUCUCCCGUAAAAUAAUAUUUUUUUCUUUUAAAUUUUAUAUAUUUUCACCGUCCAAUAGAAGAGUAAAGAAAAAUAAGUAAAUUAACCCAAAAAAAAGAAAAGAACAAGACCGGAUUAUCCUUAUUCCCUUGCAUUAUGCGAUCAAUAUCAAAAUUAUAACCAUUUCUUGUUUAUUGCUUGUAGAUUUUCGUAAAUUCAAGAAUUUGGAACAUCUGGACAUGGGUGGGGUGCAAGUUGAUGUCAACACCAGUUUUCUUCAAAUUGUCGGCGAAUCAAUGCCUUCUCUUAAGUUUUUAUCACUGGCAGAUUCAAGUCUUAAUAAAAACACCAUUCUUGAUCAAGGUUAAUUAAUGAUUCUCAUUCUCCCUCUCUCGCAUCAUAACUAAAUUUAAUGGAGAAUAUCUAUAAUGCGAGCUAUUUAUAAACUUAAUGAAAGAUGAUAAGGAGCCAUAAUAAUGACAAAAAUAAUUGUAAAAUAGUGCACUGUUGUAGUGUUGAUUGAAAAAUAAUGCUAAUGUUUUACCUAACAACACUAUAACGUCGGAUAAUUUUUAAUAUGUACUUUAAACUAUCAGUACUCAAACUAUCAGUACUCAAACUUAAUUUUUAAUAUGUACUUUAAAGAUUUUAUGCAAUUAUUUAAGUUUUAUGCAAUUAUAUUUUUCAGGACUUUGUCGGUUAGUGCAUCUGCAAGAGUUAUACAUCAGCAGUAAUGAUUUGAGAGGUAGCUUGCCAUGGUGCUUGGCAAAUUUGACUUCCCUUCGAGUAUUAGAUGUCUCUUACAAUCAACUAACUGAAAACAUCUCCUCAUCUCCCCUCAUGCAUCUAACAUCUAUCGAAGAGCUCAUACUUUCAAAUAAUCACUUCUUCCAAAUCCCUAUUUCACUUGAACCACUUUUCAAUCUCUCAAAACUCAAGACUUUCGAUGGUGAAAUAUGCGCAGAAACUGAGUCACAUUAUAAUUCUUUGACCCCAAAAUUCCAACUGACUUCUAUCUCACUGUCUGGUUACAUAGAUGGUGGCACAUUUCCCAAAUUCUUGUACCAUCAGCAUGACUUGAAGAAUGCUGAUCUCUCACACCUUAACUUGAGUGGAGAAUUUCCAAAUUGGUUGCUAGAAAACAAUACAAACUUAGAGACGCUUCUUCUUGCCAACAACUCUCUUUUUGGAUCAUUUCGGAUGCCAAUUCAUUCCCACCAGAAUUUAGCAACAUUGGAUGUCUCUAAAAAUUUCUUUCAAGGCCAUAUUUCGGUGGAAAUCGGAACAUAUCUGCCAGGUUUAAUGGAUUUAAACUUAUCUAGAAAUGCUUUCAACGGUAGCAUUCCCUCUUCAUUUGCUGAUAUGAAAAUGUUGGAAAGGUUGGACAUAUCCUACAAUCAGUUGACUGGUGAAAUCCCAGAGCGCAUGGCCACAGGUUGCUUCUCAUUAGAAAUUCUUGCAUUGUCAAACAACAGUUUGCAAGGUCAUAUAUUCUCUAAAAAAUUUAGCUUGACAAAUUUGACGACGUUGCAGUUGGAUGGUAAUAAAUUCGCUGGAGAGAUCCCAGAAAGCUUAUCUAAGUGCUAUUUGUUAGAAGGAUUAUAUCUGAGUGAUAAUCAUCUCACUGGUGAGAUUCCAAGAUGGUUGGGUAAUUUGUCAGCUUUGGAAGAUAUUAUAAUGCCCAAUAACAAUCUUGGAGGGCCAAUUCCAAUCGAGUUUUGUCAGCUUGAUUCUCUGAAGAUUUUAGACCUUUCAAACAAUAGUAUUUUCGGAACCUUACCAUCUUGCCUUAGUCCAGGAUCUAUUGAACAACUUCAUUUGUCAAAAAACAAGAUAGAAGGACGAUUGGAAAGUAUAAUCCAUGACAGCCCUUAUUUGGUGACAUUAGAUCUUAGUUAUAACAGCUUACACGGAAGUAUUCCAAAUCGGAUUGACAGACUACCUAAGUUAAACUACCUUCUUUUGGCUAAUAAUUAUAUUGAAGGCGAAAUACCAGUUCAAUUAUGCCAUUUGAAGGAAGUGCGGUUGAUUGAUCUUUCUCAUAAUAAUCUAUCUGGUCAUAUUCCUCCUUGCUUGGUUAACACUUCACUCAGUGAAGGUCAUCAUGAGGCAGUAGCUCCAACUCCAAGUGGAUCUUCGAUGGGAAAGGAAGAAACUGUACAGUUCACAACAAAGAAUAUGUCCUACUAUUAUCAAGGAAGAAUUUUGACGAGUAUGUCUGGGAUUGAUCUUUCUUGUAACAAACUGACAGGUGAGAUUCCUACUCAAAUUGGAUAUCUUACUAGGAUUCAUGCACUAAAUCUAUCUCAUAACAAUUUGACGGGCACAAUCCCGACAACAUUUUCAAACCUGAAGCAAAUCGAAAGCUUGGACCUCUCCUACAACCUACUGCAUGGGAAAAUCCCUUCUCAGCUCACCGUGCUAACUACAUUGGCGGUCUUCACAGUAGCAUACAAUAACUUAUCAGGCAAAAUCCCAGAUAGAGUCGCACAAUUUUCAACUUUUGAGGAAGAUAGCUAUGAGGGGAAUCCUUUUCUUUGUGGAUGGCCACUGUCUAAAAGUUGCAAUGAUAGUGGAUUAUCAGCAGUGACACCAGAAGCUUACACUGAUAAUGAAGAAGGUGAUAGUUUAAUUGACAUGGACAGUUUCCUGAUCACUUUUACAGUAUCUUAUGGAAUUGUGAUAUUAGGAAUUAUUGGAGUUUUGUACGUAAACCCCUAUUGGCGGCGAAGAUGGUUUUACCUUGUUGAAGUGUGUAUGACCUCUUGCUACUAUUUUGUGGCAGACAAUCUUGUUCCUAGAAGAUUCUAUGGUGGAUGGAUGUAAUUUCAUUUACUUUACAACUUAUAUGUUAUUUUUAAAGAAUUUUCUUUUGCAUGCAUGGAAUAGCAACUCAAUAAAAGUAUUUGAUGCAAAUUGUCCAAGAACAACUUAGUAAUUUCAUUGCUACUAUUCGGUUGUAUAUAUACAGUUAAUGAAAUUUUUAAUCAUUCGCAGUAGGAAUUUCUUUAAAUGGCGGCCAAAACCAACAGAUUUGGGGCUCUACCUCUACACAUCAUAACAGGCAAAAGGUCUCUCUUUUACACUAUCUGAAUGAAGAUUAGCUUACGCCCCUGGAGUUCUCUAUUAAACUUGACGGUUGAGAUUUCAGGUCCAGAUGAAAGUUAAAUGCAGGCGACGAGACUACACUUUAAGUAAACUGGGACAAACUUAAAAUAAAUAAAAAUUAUAGUCCAGGGUAAGAGUAAUGGGUAGCUCAACUUAUGGAGUAUAACUAGGACUUGGAAUAACUAUCAGAUUUGCAACUCUUGUUAUAUGCUUGGGAGUUACAGUAAUCGAUUCAUUUCCUCCAUUUCUGAUGGUAACCCAGCUCUAUACAAGAACAAUCAGAGAAGGUUCAUUUAAGAAAUUUCACAACCCACGCUUUUUUUUCCUUUUUGCCCUCUUCCUCACAAUAAAAACACCUAACACACCAAGCCGUGCACAAAAUAGUCCUAUUUUAUUCAUGUCAUGAAUCCAAAAACUAUCCCAGCUCACUUUGUUUAACCAGCAUAACUAAAUUGUGGGUAUAAAUGAACACACUUUCGAAGCCUGUAACUUAUAAUAAGCUCAAACCCAAAAAUGACAUUUAAAUCCUGCAAGUGUUUUUCAUCAUCCCUAACAAAAAGAAACAAGAAUAAUUAUAUACCAAUAAUUUUUCCAUAAAAAAUACUGAUACCAAUAAUUUUUCCAUAAAAAAUACUGAUUUGAGUUGAAACACUAUACAAACUGGGUUUUAUACACUUGCAGAAAGCUACACGAUAGACAAAAUCUAGCAGCUACAUAAUGGUAUCACUUUCAGCUGGUCAUGAAUGGUGUGCAUUCAGCAGUGCUCGAUAGACCAUGUCUAUGAAUUGAUUGUCCUAUUACAUAUAAAAGCUGGUCAGCUAUACAAGGAAAAAAAUAAUAAUUGAAAAUGCAUCACAAAAAAUAAGUGUCUCGCAUUAGUGUUUGCACUCUAAGCAUGGCAAAGUGGUGCGGGUUCAUGAUUUUGAAGACUGGGAUAAGUGAAAAAUAGUUCAAUCCACUGAUGAACAUAAAUUUAUUUACAUGUCAAUUUAGAUAUCAUAAAAAAGUAAACAGUAAUUCACAGUCACUUAAAAGAGUUGAUAAAAUGCGUGCCGUGAAUGCAUUUUUGUACAUAAGAAAUCCAAAGAGUAUUUCUGACAAUACAAAUAUGCUAGCUUUAAAUCUGCUGUCAAUAUGCAAUUAAGAAGAUUAUACCAGCUGCAUGAUAAAGUUCCCCUAAUCUUAAUAACAGUAAACAUGAACAUGUCAGAUGCAAUUAUAGCUUCGAGCAUUUGCAUAACCAGAAAUCCUAACCUGAACAAGCACCAGAAGUGUCUCUCGGACUUUCUCCUUGUUGAUAAAUGGUCCGCUGUUUGAAGUAAGAGCAGGAGUAAGAGAUGGUGGAGGGGUUGGUAGUGGAAAAGGUUGAAGCAUUGGGGCACCAUAUGGGCGUUGCAGACUCAGGGGAGGAUUAAGUGGCGGAGCUGUUGGUGUAGAUGAAGAGACAAGCUGCAUCAUCUGUGCAUAGGAGGAUGGAGGAGGAACAAAGAAUAAGGAAGGCUUUACAAGAUUAGGGGUAGGUGCUGACAGAGGUGGAGAUGGUAUUUGCAAGGUUGGCACGAUAGGAGAAGCAACACUGGCGGGAUGAGAAGGUAAAGAAAUAGUUGUAUUGGACUGGUAAGGUUGUGCAGAGAUUGCUGCAUUAGAAGUAUUCCCCACAGUCAAAGCUGUCUGCAAUGAUAAGGACAGAUGUCAUAUACAAGGACA
Molecule: long non-coding RNA, 68244 nt
Filed under: Citrus maxima (pomelo)
Lineage: Eukaryota; Viridiplantae; Streptophyta; Magnoliopsida; Sapindales; Rutaceae
Description: long non-coding RNA (CMAX_LNC003445)
Source: RNAcentral